CGGAGGAGGCGCGCGGCUGGGCGACGAGGCGGUACUGGAGGAAGGCCUCGCCGUCGGGCGUCUCGAACUUCCCCGCCUCCUCCCUCCACACGACGCUGUCCUGCGCCGCUCCCCGCUCGCCGGCGCCGCGCUCAUCGUUUGCCAUCGCGGUGGACUGCUGUGAUUUUCUGUUCGUGUUUUCGUUUUCUUUUGGUUGUACUAGUAUUUUGUUUGUGGACUUGUGGUGUCGCGAUCCGUGAGUUCGUACAUAGACAUGCACAGUUGCACACAUACUAGUACGUUUCUAAAUAUAAUCUUUACCUAAUAAUAAAGAGGCUAUCCCUUCCGUCGGAAAACCCACCGAGGUGAUUUUACAAAAAAAACCUUACUGUUUAUGAUAUUAAACUCGUAGUAUAUAUUAAAUAUAUUUUUAAAUACUCAUAUAUUUUAAACCGUAACUUCAAAUUUAACAUAUUAUACAUGAAAUUUGAUUAGAAAAAUAUGUAGAAUUUAAAUAUGAUAUUAUUUUAUCUGUUAAACGUCUAAUAAAAAUACUAUCUAGGGUGCAAUCUUAAUAAAUAAGUCAUUAUUCGUCUUUCUUUCAUACCGGUACUCAUCCGGGUUGGGGAUGAACACGUCAACAAAAUCAGGAUUAGAGAUGAAACUGAAGGUCACUUGACUGAUACUUUGUACGUAUUAAAUCUACAUGCAAGCCGUGUUAAAAUAGAAGACCUGUGAAAUUUUAAACUGCAUUUUUGUAGGAUAAGACCAUCUUUAUUUGUAUCGUAACUAUAAAUUCUCAAAUUAUAGACAUUUUUUAUAAAUUAAGAGCGUGUGCCAUGUCGUAUUUCUUUCUCCCGUUGCAACGCAUGAGCCCUUUUGCUAGUUGUUUUUAAAGGUUCCACUAGUAAACUACAUACGAAUGUAUAUAGACAUAUUUUAAAUUAUACAUUCAUUCAAUUUGCUUCGUAUGUACUCCCUCCGUUCCUAAAUAUAAGACCUUUUAGAGAUUUUAUUAUAGACUACAUACAAAGCAAAAUGAGUGAAUCUACAUCACAUAAUAUGACUACGUACAUCCGUAUGUAGUUUAUAGUGAAAUCUCUAAGAUGUCUUAUAUUUAGAAACGAAGGGAGUAGAUUCCUAGUAAAAUAUUUUAUAAGACUUAUAUUUGAGAACGGAGGGAGUAUAAGUCUUCAUAGAGAUUCCGCUAAUAAUUACAUACAAAGUAAAAUGAAUGAAUCUAUACUUUAAAUAUGUCAAUAUAUCCAUAUGUAAUCUCCCCUAAUAAUAAAGCGCGCAGCGCUUCUGUUGUCCGUCGUCGGUCAUUUUGCAGAAAAGCCCUCACAGUUUCAGUUAAUUAACCCGCAGUCCAACUUUAAGUCAGAACGAACCGUUUUCUGUCGUUUUGCAGAAAAGUCCUCACAGUUUUAGAUAAUCAACCCGCGGUCCAUCUUUUAGUCAGAGGCGAACCGUUUUUUUUGCAUUUUACAGAAAACUCCCUGAUGUUUCACGUAAUCAACCCGCCGUUCCUAUUUAAGUCAGUCGAAACGUUUUUUCGUUUUAACAAAAAAACCCUGACUUUUCAUUUAAUCAAUCUAUAUUUUAUCUAAAACAAAAUUAUCCAUAUCUUUUAAACUGUAACUUCGAUUUUAACAUGUUAUAUAUGAAAUUUGAUUGAAAAAAUGUGUAGAAUCUAAAUAGGAUGUUAUUUUUAGCUGUUGAAUACUUCUUAAAUAUUAUUUUUGGUGCAAACUUAAUCUGUAGUGCACUGUCUUUUUCUCUCUCUUUCCGACGACCAUACGAAUUGCAAUAAAUAUUCAUUAAAUUAAAACCAAAUUGAAAGCAAAGAAAACAUCGUUAACCACACAUGCACACAUUUGCAAAAUCUCGUGGGGAGAAACAACAUAUUUCUCAUCUUAUUCCAAGUGAUUGUACAUUCAAACGUGUUUUCGUUGUGUGAGCACUAAGGCCAUCGUCGACAACAAAAAUGUGAUGCCAUGUGAAAAUAUAUUACGUUCAAAGCGUGUGUUAUUUUCUCUCCCGUUGCAACGCACGGGCUUUUUUGCUAGUCCAUAAUAAAACCCCUAAAAAUAUUUAUAUCUAGAAACAGAGGGAAUAUAUCUUUACGAACACAUCCAAGAAACUACACUGAUAUAUUAUAUUAACAUUAACAAAGUUAUCAUAGAUGUCUCCAUAUUUUUAUAUGUGCAUGUAAUAAUGGUAUUUAUUUUAACAUUAACAAAGUUAUCAUAUAUGUCUUCAUAUUUUUAUAUGUGCAUGUAAUAAUGGUAUUUAUUCAUCGAAAAUAAGGUUAUAGUCUGCUAAUACAAUUCUAGAGACAGUGUUUGGAUAAUGGUGUGACCAACAAGGGAUGCUAGACUCAACUUUAUUUGGUGACGCUCAAUUUUCUAUAGAAUAAACCCAUGAGAUUUCAAAAGCUUCUUAAUUUUCAUGGUAAGAUGUCCAUAAUCAAAAUGGUCCAAAAAAUUAUUUGUUAGAGUUGUAAUCACCGUAGUUAACGCGAAAGUCUUGAGCGCACAUCGACAUGAUGAAUGAAAUAAAUUGAUGAGGACAUCAACACUAUUGUUACACCCACAACCCCACCUGCUAUACAUACUGGACUCGUUACUAGAGCUCGUGCACGCCAGUUGAAUUACCAGGUACUUUCGUUUCUUGGGAAUACUUCUAAUGUUCAUGAACAUAUGAUACUGCCUAAGUUAGAUACUUUUGUUGUGCUCAUGAAUGAAGGAUCUAGCAUGGACAAUAAGGAUAUCCGUUGGAGCAGAAUCAAGCAUGGAGAAGAAGGUGCACGCACGAGAGAGAACAAUAGAGCUUCCACUGGUGAUUUUCGCACUCUAAAGCCACCAUAAGGAGAGCAUGAAGGCUUUGGACGAAAUAUUCAAGACGCCACUUUAUAAAUUUUGUCCAUAGGAUAUUAUAGGUGUUGCACCAUAUUAUUUUUUGGGCCAGGCCCAUAAUUUCGAAAUACCAUAAUAUAGGCUAUUUUUAGAGUCCGUAUGUGUGGGGAAACCGAGUUUAGGGCUGUUUUCGGACCCCCUCCUCCAAGGGUCACGAAAUUGCCUCUCUAUUCCCUCAUAUAUACAACCCUUAGGGCACCGUUUAGAAUUGGGUUUUGUUUAGAUUACAAGUUCGCCAUAGCUGCAACUUCGCGUUCUUCGUUUGUGUUCUAUGACCAGACAAAGGCGUCACAGAACCCCACCUUCAUCAAUAAAGCUUUCCUCUUAUAUUUGCAAUAUGUUGAUUGCAUUUUAGUUUCUUGCUUGUUCUUCAUUUGCGUGCAGGAAACAAACCUUUGUGGUCAAGUUGAUCAUGCUCCGGCGUGGUCAAUAACCUCUCGAAGUUGGUUUAGCGAUUGCUAAGGCGCGACGUCCUCACACAUUCGUAGUCGGAUCGUCAAAGUCUACUCCACCAAAAUGAUACCCACGAUCUCAUCGAAAGACAGGGACAACUUCGCCUCUAUCAUAAAUUCAAAAAAUACGAGCAUCAAUGUCAAAUCUAACGCUUAAACUUUGGUGGGUAAGAAUAUCACUAUCAUCAUAACCAUCCAGCCAUAAGUUGAUCCAUCCGCAAGUCAUGAGUUAGUACGACGUUCCUUGCACAACUCGAAGAGGCAAAAACUGGCGCGAAACUGCCUCACAUACAAUCUGAUUCCGUGAUAGGUGUGUGCAUAAUCGAAUCAUUAAACGAUGUCUCCAACAUAACCUUCAAUAAUUCUUUCAAGAAUUAUUCAAUAUGACCAUAUAAUAAUAAGUACCCGAUUAUCUGGCUGACGUUUCCCACAAGAAAGGCGUGUCGUGGGAACGAGCCUCACAAUAGAGGUUAGGGGUACGUAAGGAGAGGGCAGAGUCCUAGCUACGACGAGAUUGUACACACGAAUAUAUGAGUUCAGACCCCUCUCGUUGAGGUAAUAGCCCUACGUCUUAGUGCUCUGGAGCUUCUGUCGUGUGGGAAGUGUGAGUUACAGGGGAUGUGAACCCUUGUGCCAGAGGGGAGGGGUGACUUAUAUAGAGUGCACCACCCCUCAUCAAUCCCCGGCAACCAAGGGUUCAAUCAUGGUAAUAAAGAUACACGUUAUUGAUGAUGUAUGCAAUAAAUGCUACUUAUGGCGACCAGUCGAAUGCCUGCCUGUUGGCCUCCCUGGAGUAGCUUCUGAUAUUUUGAGGUCAACUAGCUUCAGGUUCUUCCGAGUGAAAGGCAAAUGAAGAAUGGAGGGAGAAACCUCCGAGUGGAUGUGGUGCCGAGUGACACAUGUGCCAUGGUGAUUUCAGUUGGAGUCUUCCUUGUAGUCUUUAAGUCCUCCAAUGUAGUGUCCUUGGGUAGGACAUAUAGGCCAGGCCUAUGACCCUACCCUAGGUACAUAUCCCCAUCAUUAGCCCCCGAAUGGAUCGGGGUUCGAGUGAAUAAGGGUCGAUGCAGAUUCUGAUAAGAUACACAGAUCCCGAAUGCAUUUUAGGGCUUCACAGAAGUAUGCGUCGAUUGAAGUCUUUAUCAUUCACCCUCAUCAAUUCCGUUUUGACAUGUGUCCGAAUGAACUUGAGUAUGGAAUCUGGUUCAAGCGGUAAGCAGGGUCCCUUGAUGCGACGAGUCGCUUCGUCAAGUCUGGAUUUCACGGGAUUCAAAAAUUUGGUAAGCGCACGUUGCACGAUGAUGAUGCAACAAUCGUAGCAAGUGGGGGCAUGAUGCCUCGAUCUUUGCGCCAUCUUUAGCGCCACAUAUCGUGCUUCCUAUGAAAUAGGGAUACACAGGGAUUCAGCGGCCCCAUAGGUCAGCGACUCACUCGGAUGGUUAUAAAACGGGACGAUGCUAGGGCUGGAAUAAUGCUCCUCCGUCAUUCGCCUCUUUUCCUCCGCCCUCUCUGCUCCACGCGCGCCGCUCAGCUCCGCCCCGAUGACCGUCGCCGCGAUGACGAAGGGGAAACGGAGAAGCUGGAGCGUGCGAAGAAGGGAGCCAAGGGGAGGAAGUCGUCAAGCGCCCGGUCUUCGACGCAGCCGGGCUGGAUUCAAGGACAUUUCCUUCGGCCGACCGUCAUUGCAGAGGAUGUCAGUAAUCUUGUCGUUGACGGGAUGAUAGCUGACGGGUCGUGGAGAUUGCCGGAGGGAGAGACCGAGCGGGAGCCGCGCAAAGAUGAGCGGGUCCUCCUCCUCUCCCACGUCGAACGAGGUUUUUCUUUGCCUCCCCAUCAAUUCUUCCAUGGGUUCUUGAAUUUCUUUGGCGCACAACUUCAUCAUUUUCCUCCGAAUACCAUUGCGUACCUCUGUGCCUUUGUAAUAUUGUGUGAAUACUUCUUGGGUUGUUCACCCCACUGGGGACUGUUCAAGCACAUCUUCACUAUUCGGUCUCAAUCGGUCAAAAAGGCCAAAUCUAGCGACAGUAAGACCAAUGUCACCCAACUAUGGGGUGGCUUGGGACUCCACAAGAGGAGCAAGAGCGCGUUUCCGGCAAUGACCCUUCCGAAAUCCGCUCGGGGUUGGCAGUCGACUUGGUUUUAUUGUAAGGAUGUUGCGUCUCCUAAUAUGUCGUCUGGCCUUCCUCCUUCACAUUAGAGAGUCCCACUACUCCCAGAACAUUGAACGUGGCAGAGGAAGAAAAAGUCCGGGUAGGAAUUUUAGUGAAUGCUGUAGUGAACUUGGUCCGUGGCGGAGUGACUGGUAUGGACCUUUUAGAGGCGUUUCGCGGUCGGUGAAUCCAGCCCCUUCAAGCGAGGGACCACACUGGCAUUAUUCAAAUGUUGAAGACACCACUCGGACCCAUCCGGAGGAAGUCUCUGAGGAGAUUGUUGCGUAGUGGCUCACAAGCAUCACUGGAGCUUGUGACAAUCCUCUCGGAGCCAAGCGAAUCCCACCUUUCUGUGCCAAGAACCCGCCGCCGAACUUGGUGAGUUAUAUCUUUGUUGAGUGCUUUCAUAUUUCGUCGAGUGAUCAGAUCUUCAGCCGACUGACUUUACUGUUUGUAUCUUGCAGGAGUUAACGCACAUGUACUCGCCCAUACCAAAGGAGGACAACUUGAUGACGGAGAAGAGAGUGCAGGUGACAGCGUAGACACUGAUUAUGCUAAUGACAGUGAAGGUGGUGACGACGACUCAAAGGAGAGCGAGGAAGAUGCUCAGUCCCCUCCGCGCAUCGAACAACGAACCAAGCAGCGUCAAGACCCAGCGGCUGUCCCAAGUAGAACCCUCGCAUCGUGCAUCAGGAAUCCGGAGCGUGACCAGGCUCCGACCUCUGAGUCGACUGAAAAGGCUGCGAAGUAGCUUAAGUCUGCUCCGCCAAAACCUCGGAAGGCUCUGCCCCAUAUGAAGAUCGACGUGCCCGUUGCCUCAACGCGAGUGCCCAUUUUCCUUCUUCUGUUGUUGUGGAACUUCAUGUUUUUUCUGAACGAGUGAAAUUUUCUUGUCAGUGCUGCUACGUCGGUGACAUCACCUCCGUGAUACGAAGAUGAGCACAUGGAAAUGGAAACUGCUGACGCGGCCACUUCUCAACGUGGUAUAACAAAUCUUCACACUGCUCUGUUUUUUGGAAAUGAUUCGUCGAUUGAAUCUGUUAGCGUUGUCGAUUGGUAGCUACAGACGUCAUCCUUGUGGACGACGAUGAGGAGCCUCACAGGUCGGCUGCUGCAUUGUCUGAAGGACUUGGCGACUCUUCACGAGCCGCAACUGGACUUGAGGUUCCGCUGUUGAGUGCCCCACCAACAACUUCAACUCUUAUGGUCUCGGCGCCAAUUGAACAACUUCAGGCCACUCUUGUGACCUCAGCUGUAGCACCAACUCAUCCAACGCCCGCGUUCUCUCUGCACAACGUCCGAGAGGACCAGACCGGAGCUGGUAAAGAGGCCAUGAUCCAGGCUGAGCAAAUGAUGCUGUGAGUGAAGGAGGCAUAUGAGGCAAGGAAGUUCGCUUAUGAUGCGAGCUCAGCGCUUCGUGCCAAUGUUUGAGUAAGUGCGAUUGUAAGUUCAUUUCUGAUUGAAUUCAUGUCCAUCCUGACUCUACACCCACUGGGUGUUUUCUUUUGGUGCAUACUUGUUUGUUUUCUCCUUGAGUAGAUUAGGUCUUAGUCGAGUGGUCUCUAGUCCAGUGGGGGCACGCUGAGUGCACCCACUAGUUGUAGUCCCCGAGACCGAUGUCGAAUGGCGUUGAGAUCGACAGGGGUCUUAUAUUUGUUUUGAUAGUCGCUUGACGCUCGACAGGUCGGACCUGGUCGAGUGAAAGUAGGUCUAGUGGGGGCACGCUGAGUGCACCCACUGGGUGUAGUCCCCGAGACCGCUGUUGAGUGCUUGCAUCGACGGGGGUGUGAUAGAGACAAUUUUGCAAGUUUGCUCUCUCUUUUUAUUAUUACUCAGAUAGGCCGGACCUGGUCGAGUGGUGUUGUAUCCAGUGGGGGAACGCUGAGUGCACCCACUGGGUGUAGUCCCCGAGACUACUAUCGAUCGUCUACGAUUGGCAGUAGUCUUAAGAACUCGGACUCGGGGUCAUUUUUCGUACUUGAAGUACGCUUGUCACUCGGCCUUGCAGGUUUCAUGGACAUCAUUUCCAUCAACCAUGAUAUGACGCUUUACAGGGGUGUGGGUUGGGGCGGCGGGCCGCCAUUCAGUCGACUGAACUUGCUCUUUUCCACUCGGGAGUGGGGAAGUAUUAAUGUUGACUAAACUACUUCUUUGUUGACUUCAGAAAGCUUGUGAGAUUGGCACUAAGUAUGUCGACCUGGAGAAGGAGAAAAACGAGCUUCAGCUGGAUCUAGAGGUGAUCAAGAAUGACCUGAACUGUGCACAGACCGAGCUGAAGACCCUGCAAGGUAAACUUUGUCGACCAAUCACACUAUCAUUUUCAUCUUCUAUCCUUUGAACCGAGUGUUCACACUCGAACAGGCGUGCGUAAUGAGAACUGCUGACUCCAAGCGCGACCCAACAAUGUUAUUUCUUUAGAUACCGCGAGGAAAGCACUUGAAGAUAAAGACCAGGAACUCGCUGAUGCACAGAAGGUGGCGAAGGAGAAAACCGAAGCCACUGAUAAGAAGCUUGCCGAAGCCGGUAAGUUGGAAGAAGAGAAUGCCAAACUCAAGCAAGAACGAGCUGAUUGGAUGAAAAGGGCUGAAUAGCUGACCAAGAAAAGGAGCGGCGUGGAGAACUACUUGGGAGACUUUGUGAAGAAGAUGUUGGACAUGCUUGAAGGUAACUUUUCUUCUGCCGAGUGAAUUUCCUCAACCUCCACGAAAUAGUAGCACGACCAACCUUUCAUUUCCUCUUCGUGUAGAAUUCUGCCAAGACUUCAACAAAGAAACUAAGGAGAUCGAACCAAAUCUGGACCCUACCAAGUCACCCGUCGGGGACGUUGUGGCCAUGAACAUGUUUCGCCUUGACGCUCGUCUCAGAAGUGUCCAAGGUUAUUUCACUCAACUGAAACCUGCGCUGGUGAAGAUUGACAAGGAUUUGUGGCUAGAAGACACUCUCGAGACUGAUCUUGAGUCGAUGAUGGUCCGUUUCAACGAGAUUCCAGUCGAGUAGAAGCAUGAAAGAAAUCUGCUGCUCGCUGCGGAGCUAAUGUGCCGCUUUCAAUCGUCCGGGUCCAUUGCAAGGAAUCCUAGGAGGACAAGUUGAAGGUUCUCCAGGUGGGCAACAUGAAGAAACUUCAAUUUGAAAACUUCAUGGAGACAUUCAUCGAAGUAGCCACUCGGAUCACCGACGGGAUAGAUUUGGAUACCUUCGUCGAGCCCGCGAGCCUCGAUGGUGCUUGAGAAAAAACUCUGCGUUUAGUUCAAAACUUUAUUUGCCUCGGUAUGGCGAGUGAUGGUGUAACCGUUUAAAACUUCGUUUAGUCCUUAAGCGUGAGAACUUCCGCACACGAGGACGACUUUUAUCCGCGCAAAAGAUCUUUGAUUUAUCUGCAUUUUGCUUUCCAAUCCUUUGUUUGGCUAAGUCUGUUUGCUUUCAAAAUGUGACUGAUGCUCAUCACUCGAAAAGAUUUUAAACUUAGGCAAAGACUGAUUCACAACUAAGCCUUCGAGUGCGAAGAAUGUUCGUCACUCGGAAAAUUUUUAAACUUAGGCGAAGACUGAUUCGCAGGUAAGCCCCCCGUGUGAGAAGAAUAUUCGUCACUCAGAGUAUUUUUAAACUUAAGCGAAGACUGGUUCGCGGCUAAGCCUGCGAGUGAUAAGAAUAUUCGUCACUCGGAGUAUUUUUAAACUUAGGUGAAGAUUGGUUCACAGCUAAGGCCCCGAGUGCGAAGAAUGUUCGUCACUCGGAGAAUUUUUAAACUUAGGGGAAGACUAAUUCGUAGCUAAGCCCCCCCGAGUGAAAAUAAAAUUCGUCACUCGGAGUAUUUUUAAACUUAGGCAAAGACUGGUUCGCGGCUAAGCCUACGAGUGAGAAGAAUAUUCGUCACUCGGAGUAUUUUUAAACUUAGGCAAAGACUGGUUCGCAGCUAAGCCCCCGAGUGCAAAGAAUGUUCGUCACUCGGAGAAUUUUUAAACUUAGGCGAAGACUGGUUCGUAGCUAAGCCCCGGAGUGAGAAGAAUAUUCACCACUUGGAGUAUUUUUAAACUUAGACGAAGACUGGUUCUUAGCUAAGCCCCCGAGUGUGAAAAAUAUUCUUCACUCGGAGUAUUUUUUAAACUUAGGCGAAGACAGGUUCGUAGCUAAGCCCCCGAGUGAGAAGAAUGUUCGUCACCCGGAGUAUUGUUUUAAACUUAGGCGAAGACUCAUUCGCAGCUAUUGCACUCGAGUGAGAAGAAUGUUCAUCACUCGGAGUAUUUUUUAAAGUUAGGCGAAGACUGGUUCGCACCUAAGCCCCCGAGUGAGAAGAAUGUUCAUCACUAGGAGUGUUUUUUUAAACUUAGCUGAAGACUGGUUCACAAGUAAGCCCUCGAGUGAGAAGAAUGUUCGUCACUCGGUGUAUUUUUUAAACUUAGGCGAAGACUGGUUUGCAGCUAAGCCCCAGAGUGAGAAGAAUAUUCGUCACUCGGAGUAUUUUUUAAACUUAGUCGAAGACUAGUUCGCAGCUAAGGCCCUUGAGUGAGAAGAAUGUUCAUCACUCAGAGUAUUUUUUAAACUUAGCAAAGACUAGUUCGCAACUAAGCCCCCAAGUAAGAAGAAUGUUCGUCACUUGGAGUGUUUUUUUAAACUUAGGCGAAUACUGGUUCACAGCUAAGCCCCCGAGUGAUAAGAAUGUUUUGUCACUUGGUGUAUUUUUUAAACUUAGGCGAAGACUGGUUCGCAGAUAUGCCCCCCCGAGUGAGAAGAAUAUUCGUCACUCAAAGUAAUUUUAAACUUAAGCAAAGACUUGUUCGCAGCUAAGCCUCCAAGAGAUAAGAAUAUUCGUCACUUGGAGCAUUAUUAGACUUAGGCGAAGACUGGUUCGCAUCUAAGCCCCCGAGUGCAAAGAAUAUUCAUCACUCGGAGAAUUUUUAAACUUAGGUGAAGACUGAUUCGUAGCUAAGCCCCCCCCCCCCCCCCACAGNAAGCCUCCCAGUGAGAAGAAUAUUCGUCACUCAAAGUAUUUUUAAACUUAGGCAAAUACUGGUUCGUAGCUAAGCCCCCGAGUGCGAAGAAUGUUCGUCACUCAGAGAAUUUUUAAUCUUAGGCGAAGACUGGUUUGCAGCUAAGCCCCCGAGUGAGAAGACUAUUCGUCUCUCGGAGUAUUUUUAAAGUUAGGCGAAGAUUGGUUCGUAGCUAAGCCCCCGAGUGCGAAGAACAUUCUUCCCUCGGAGUAUUUUUUAAACUUAGACGAAGACAGGUUUGCAACUAAGCCCCCGAGUGAGAAGAAUGUUCGUCACUCGGAGUAUUUUUUAAACUUAGGCGAAGACUAGUUCGCAGCUAAGGCCCUUGAGUGAGAAGAAUGUUCAUCACUCGGAGUAUUUUUUAAACUUAGGGGAAGACUGGUUCGCAACUAAGCCCCCGAGUGAGAAGAAUGUUCGUCACUCGGAGUGUUUUUUAAACUUAGGCGAAGACUGGUUCACAGCUAAGCCCGUGAGUGAGAAGAAUGUUCAUCACUCGGUGUAUUUGUUAAACUUAGGUAAAGACUGGUUCGCAGCUAAGCCCCCGAGUGUGAAGAAUGUUCAUCUCUCGAUGUAUUUUUUAAACGUAGGCGAAGACUGGUUCGCAGCUAAGCCCUCGAGUGAGAAGAAUGUUCGUCACUCAGAGUAUUUUUAAACUUAGGCGAAGACUAGUUUGCAGCUAAGCCCCCGAGUGAGAAAAUGUUCGUCACUUGGAGUACUUUGUAAACUUAGGCGAAGACUGGUUCGCAACUAAGCCCCCGAGUGAGAAGAAUGUUUGACAUUCGGUGUAUUUUUUAAACUUAGGCGAAGACUGGUUUGCAGCUAUGGCCCCCGAGUGAGAAGAAUGUUCGUCACUCGGAGUAUUUUUUAAACUUAGGCGAAGAUUGGUUUGCAGCUAAGCCCCUGAGUGAGAAGAAUGUUCCUCGCUUGGAGUGUUUUUUUAAACUUAGGUGAAGACUGGUUCGCAGCUAAGCCCUCGAGUGAGAAGAAUGUUUGUCACUUGGUGUAUUUUUUAAACUUAUGCGAAGACUCAUUCACAGCUAAGCCCCUGAGUGAGAAGAAUGUUCAUCACUCGGUGUAUUUUUUAAACAUAGGUGAAGACUGGUUCGCAGCUAAGCACUCGAGUGAGAAGUAUGUUCGUCACUCGGAGUAUUUUUAAACUUAGGCGAAGACCGGUUCGCACCUAAGCCCCCGAGUGAGAAGAAUGUUCGUCACUCGGAGUAUUUUUUAAACUUAGGCAAAGACUGGUUCGCAGCUAAGCCCCCCAGUGAGAAGAAUGUUCGUCACUCGGUGUAUUUUUUAAACUUAGGGGAAGACUGGUUCGUAGCUAAGCCCCCCGAGUGAGAAGAAUGUUCGUCACUCGGAGUAUUUUUUAAACUUAGGCGAAAACUGGUUCGCAGCCGAGCCCCCGAGUGAUAAGAAUGUUCGUCACUCGGAGUAUUUUUUUGAAUGUGAGGUUGUGCGAUCGGAAUUGACAAAAGACCGCGGGAGUCAUAGCUUUGAUAAACAACAUUGUCUAGAGUACUCUUAUUACAUCAAACAACUCAGUUGUCAAGUAUAAAAACGUCGAAGUAAAUCUGCGUUCCAGGCACGUGGUUCAUCGAUAUUUUUCUUGGGUUUGAAAAGGUGGUAGGCUCCAUUGUUCAACACUUUGGUGAUGAUGAAAGUACCUUCCCAUGCGGGGGCGAGCUUGUGAGGCCGAUGCUGAUCCACUCGGAGCACAAGAUCACCUUCGUGAAAUGACCGACUUUUGACGUGCUUUGCAUGGAAGCGACGCAAAUCUUGCUGGUACACGAUCGACCUCACCAGAGCCACUUCGCGUUUUUCUUCCAGGAGAUCCACACCGUCUUGUCUUUCUUGUUCGGCUUCAUCUUGUGAGUAAAGAUCUACGCGGGGAGAAUUGUGAAGGAGAUCACUCGACAGAACGGCCUCGACUCCAUACACCAUGAAGAAAGGAGUUCGCCAGUCGAUCGGUUAGGAGUCAUCCUCAAACCCCACAGAACAGACGACAAUUCGGCAACCCAAGCUCCCUCUAUGUGAUCAAGAUCUCGCAUGAGUCGAGGCUUCACUCCUUGAUGGAUAAGACCAUUUGGUUGCUCAGCUUGACCAUUGGUAUGGGGGUGCGCAACAGAUGCGUAAUCCAUUCGAUUGCCUUGGGUAGAGCAAAAGUAUGUGAACUCUUCCGAGUCAAAGUUUGAACAUUAUCUAUGAUGAUAUUGUGGGGAACUCCAUAUCGAAACGUUAUCUCUUUUAGGAAUUUGAUAGCAGUAUGCGAAUCCAUCUACUUUAUGGGUUUAGCCUCAAUCCAUUUGGUGAACUUGUCGAUUGCUACAAGCGAAUGCAUGAAUCCACUCUGGCCCGUUCGGAAAGGACUGACCAUAUCUAAGCCCCAAACAGCAGACAAGUGGAGUAGUCUCGAGGGCAGACGCAGACUUAUAUGACAAGUUUGCAUAAAACUGACAUCCUUCGCAGUGUUCAACAAUUUCCUUAGCCAUUUCGUUGGCGCGCGGCCAGAACAAACCAGCUUGGUAUGCUUUGGCAACAAUUAUCCUUGAGGACGCAUGAUGACCACAGGUCCCCGAAUGGAUUUCCUCUAGAAUCAAUCGACCUUCUUCAGGAGAGAUGCACCGCUGAGUUACGCCAGUUACACUUUCUUUGUAAAGUUGACCAUCCAUCAUAGUAAAGCCCUUGGACCCGUAGACGAUCUGCCGAGUUUCAACCUCGUCUUCUAGNNNNNNNNNNNNNNNNNNNNNNNNNNNNNNNNNNNNNNNNNNNNNNNNNNNNNNNNNNNNNNNNNNNNNNNNNNNNNNNNNNNNNNNNNNNNNNNNNNNNGAAGAAGAAGAAGCAACUCUAAUUGAACAAUCAACGCGCUCGCGUCAAGUAACCUUUACAUGUACCUGCAACCGGUGUUGUAGUGAUCUGUGAGCCACAUGGGACUCAGCAAUCUCAUUUCCAAAGGUAUCAAGACUAGCAAAGCUUAAUGGGUGAGGCAUGGUUAAGUGGUGAGGUUGCAGCAGCGGCUAAGCAUAUGUAUAUGGUGGCUAACUUACGAGUACAAGAAAUAAGAGGGGGAAGAUCUACGCAUAACGGACGCGAACUACUGAUGAUCAAAAGAAUGAUCCUGAACACAUACCUACGUCAGACAUAACUCCACCGUGUCCUUGAUCGGAGAAGGAACUCACGAAAGAGACAAUCACGGUUACGCACACAGUUGGCAAGUUUUAAUUAAGUUAACUUCAAGUUAUUUAGAGCCAGUGUUAAACAAAGCUUCCACGUUGCCACAUAACCGCGGGCACGGCUUUCCGAAAGAUUUAACCCUGCAGGGGUGCUCUAACUAGUCCAUCACAAAUUACCACAAGCCGCAUAGAAAUCCUCAAUCACGAAGCUCGCGAUCUCGUCGGAUUCCCUAGUGGAAAACCUCAACUCUGAAAAUACCCAAAGCAUCACCGGGAUCCCGAUGCACAAGAUAUCUCGUCAAAGGUAAAAAUAAUCCAGCAAGGCCGCCCGGCGUGUCGACGAUCCUGAUAGGAGCCGCGUAUCUCGUUCUGAGGACACGACGGAUAAGCGAAGCGUACGAGUGCCAAACCUCGAGUUUCCUCGCGGUGGCCCCGCACGGUGCUCUGUUUUGGACCAGCACCAUCAGCAUCGGCCCUCCCUGUAUUAUGUGAAAUUACUCCUCGGGUUCAUGACGCCCUAUGCUUUCAGUAUUAACAAAGUUAUUAUGUUGGGCNAUUAACAAAGUUAUUAUGUUGGGCAAAUGUAGUACCAAUGUUGGGCCUUGCCAGACCAGCUUUAAUCUAAAACGAAUUAUCAAGGGGGUCCCCAUAACAACCCCGACCGUGUUAGGAGCGCUCGUUUAUGGAACAUAACACCGGUACCCGAAACUAAGGGGGCAAAGGUGGAACAAAACACCAGGCUAGAAAGAUCGAGCCUUCCACCUUUUACCAAGUAUAUAGGUGCAUUAAAUUAAAUAGCAUUGAAUAUGGUGGUAUGACAAGGAACCCAUGUUAUCACAUUGAAGCAACUACACCUGCAACUAGCAACGCUAACAACAUGGAUAAGCAAGCUGUAACAUAGCCAAUCAUUGGUUUGCUAGGUCGAACAGGUUGAAGGUUAUCAUGGUAUUGUUGAGAGGCUGNNNNNNNNNNNNNNNNNNNNNNNNNNNNNNNNNNNNNNNNNNNNNNNNNNNNNNNNNNNNNNNNNNNNNNNNNNNNNNNNNNNNNNNNNNNNNNNNNNNNAGCUACAUCCUAGCAAAAUAGUAAACGCAUCUGCAAGCACAUAUGUUAGUAUAAAGACAACCCUAUGGCUCCUGCCGGUUGCCGUACCAUCGACGUGCAAGUCGAUAUUUCUAUUACAACAUGAUCAUCUCAUACAUCCAAUAUAUCACAUCACAUCAUUGGCCAUAUCACAUCACAAUCAUACCCUGCAAAAACAAGUUAGACGUCCUCUAAUUUUGUUGUUGCAUGUUUUACGUGGUGACCAAGGGUAUCUAGUAGGAUCGCAUCUUACUUACGCAAACACCACAACGGAGAUAUAUGAGUUGCUAUUUAACCUCAUCCAAGGACCUCCUCGGUCAAAUCCGAUUCAACUAAAGUUGGAGAAACCGUCACUUGCCAGUCAUCUUUGAGCAAAGGGGGUUACUCGUAACGAUGAAACCAGUCUCUCGUAAGCGUACGAGUAAUGUCGGUCCAAGCCGCUUCAAUCCAACAAUACCGCGGAAUCAAGAAAAGACUAAGGAGGGAAGAAAAACGCACAUCACCGCCCACAAAACCUUUUGUGUUCUACUCAAGAAGACAUCUACGCAUGAACCUAGCUCAUGAUGCCACUGUUGGGGAACGUCGCAUGGGAAACAAAAAAUUUCCUACGUGCACGAAGACCUAUCAUGGUGAUGUCCAUCUACGAGAGGGGAUGAGUGAUCUACGUACCCUUGUAGAUCGUACAGCAGAAGCGUUAGAGAACGCGGUUGAUGUAGUGGAACGUCCUCACGUCCCUCGAUCCGCCCCGCGAACAAUCCCGCGAUCAGUCCCACGAUCUAGUACCGAACGGACGGCACCUCCGCGUUCAGCACACGUACAGCUCGACGAUGAUCUCGGCCUUNNNNNNNNNNNNNNNNNNNNNNNNNNNNNNNNNNNNNNNNNNNNNNNNNNNNNNNNNNNNNNNNNNNNNNNNNNNNNNNNNNNNNNNNNNNNNNNNNNNNGGACUAGGUUGCGGACAGGUCGGUGCACUGCGCAGAGGGGCUAGGCAGGGAUGAGAGGGAAAACGGGCGAUGCGGCAACGUAUUUUAAAAACACCGACAACCUUCCGACGGUAGUCCGAAUACGGUGCCGCUACGGUCGACCGUUCGCGUACCAGACGGACUCCGAUCGCGACGAAAUUCGACAGGCGGUCUAGCUAUAUUAAAAUACGACCGCACGUCGAAUAGCAAGCCAAUCAGAGAAGGUUUUCGCACACUUUUAAAACUGGGUUCGACGAUGCCGCGGGUGCGUGCGUGUGCGGUCGGGCUCAGAACGGACAACGACGAGAACCGGCAACUAACAACGGAUGCAAGUUUUGAAAACUGGCGGCAACGGAGAUGCCGAUGCAAUGCAGAUGAUGCGCAUGAUGCGAUGAUGAUGCGACAAAAGAAAAAUAGACACACGGCGAAAACAGAAAGAAAGGAGAAUCUUCUGGAACGUCGGCAUCGGGUGUCACAACUCUCCUACACUACAAGAGGAUCUCGCCCCGAGAUCCAAGAAAGGGGGAGAGGAUGAGAAAGCAAGAGGUAAAAAUUUAGUCGCUUCUUGACAAACGAGUGAAACCAACGAUCCUUGAAGGUUGCAAGGAGAUGAGGAAUGACAUGGGAAAGAAGCAAGAAUUCACGGAAAAUUUCGGCAGCACUUCGGUAGGAAAAUGGGACAAAAAAUUCGAUAAGAAGGUAGAAAUAGACAAUAUUCACAACAAACAAGUAAAUAGAACAAGGGAACAACAUGACCUUGAUAGGAUAACAUGAUUGACCCAAAGAGCAACGUCACAAUGCCUCCGGAACAAGAGAAUAUUAACUAGCUCAUACGGAAGAAGAGAAUGAAGAAAAGAAUGACAACUAUCAUCACAAUAGAAUUGAAGAUCCUCCGGACUGAGAAUUGACGUAGCAAUUGGAAACCCAACAACCAAAGGAACAAGAUAGUAGUGGGCUUAUGAAAAUCAUCUCAACAAUACGAAGUGACAACCAACCGCUAAAGGAACAAGGAUAGCUUGGGAGCAACAAGAAAUGGACACUUCUUACACCAAGAGGGUACAUUGAGAACUGGGAUUAAUGACAAACACCAUGAUAGCAACAAUCCAUAGGAAAAGCUAUAGGUGAAAUCCAAACCAAGAUAGCUCAAAUGAAGAAAUCAUGGGUUGAAAAUAUUUCAUGAUCAAAGAAUUGGUGGGUUUAAUUAUCUCAUACUUGAAAGGAAAACUCUUCGAGGCUCCUACACUAACAAGAAUGCUAUAAUACCACCUCAAAGGAAAAGGAAGAACAAAUGCACUUGGAAAUGCAAGAGAAGAAAAACUUGAGGUUCUCCAAUAAGAUUCUUGAAGAACACUUGAGAAUGAAUUGAAACCUUGAUGAACCACCAUGAAGGACCUUCGUAUACAAAUGAAUGAUGCAACAAUAUGAAGGUAGAAAAGAAUAAGAUUAUGACCUUACCAAUAUUUAGAUGAAGCCUCACAAAGAGAUACUUAAAAGAACUUGGAACUCCGGAAAAGAAAAGAUAGGCACUUGAGAAAAGAAUUGAUAUCAUGGGCCCUCCGGAAGAAGAAUUGAAAUCUCUUGGAAGAAGGAAGGACAAUAAUAAGAAUUAUGUUAUGCUCAUCCUUCAUCAAAUUAAAUUGAUGACAAGCAACGGAUCUAGCAUACGACUUAUUCUACUAGAAAUGAAUCUUGAAGAUGCACAGAGAGAUAAGCGCCACUUGAGGCAUAAUUGAAGGAAGCACCGGAAAGAAUUCCCAAUUGAAUGGGAAUUCCAAGAAUGCAUGGAAACACCUGAGAAUGAAGAGAUCAUGAGCCACCUGAGAGAAAACUUGAACAAGGCACCGGAUAAUCGAGAGACGAACGAAGAGACAACAAUUGAGAAGAAUUGCGGAUGAAAGCUGAAACCUGAGAACGAAGAAGUCUUCUGAAAUGAUGGCCUUCGGAGGAUCGAGAAUGAAAACAACUCAGAAGUGCACCGAAUAGCAGAAAGGGAUUACCCAUGAUUGGAGCAAAUAAGAUGACGACACCAAGCUGAAAUGAUGAAUUUCCAAGAGAAUGAACCAAGAUUCGAGAGAAACACUUCUUCGGACUUGAAAGAAGAGGAUGAUGAGAAGAACACCACCAAGAAUUAACUAGGGCACUCCGGAAUAAGAGAAUGCAAGAUUGAGCCAAAUAUGAGAAUUAAUUCGAAUAGGCCUUGGAGAAGGGAUAUGACUGAUGAAAUUCAUACUUAUGUCAUAGUUGAAAUAAUUAGAGAACUUCGGGAAUUUUUUUAAAAGAGCCAGGACAGAUCCUGGGAAAGAACCUGUGGGUUAUGGGCCCACUCAAAGAAACCACCAUUGAAAAGAUUGCUUAGAAGAGAGAUAAUGCACCGGUAUGAAGAGAACUAGAUGAGGUUAGCAGCUCGAAAUAAUUGAAAAGAUUGGAAACAAAAACUUCUGAAAUAUCUUGACACUCCGGAUAGAAAGAGAGAGGAAUUAGCAACAAGAUAGGCUCAUAACAAUUUCCAAUAUAGGAAAGAAUUACAAGGAUGAAUGGAUAAGAUGACACCGACAACUAAAUUGAAUUCACCGGUAAGGAUGACAAGACUAAAUAAAGAUGAACACGAAGCGUAUGAGUGCCAAACCUCGAGUUUCCUCGCGGUGGCCCCGCACGGUGCUCCGUUUUGGACCAGCACCAUCAGCACCGGCCCUCCCUGUAUUAUGUGAAAUUACUCCUCGGGUUCAUGACGCCCUGUGCUUUCAGUAUUAACAAAGUCAUUAUGUUGGGCAAAUGUAGUACCAAUGUUGGGCCUUGCCAGACCAGCUUUAAUCUAAAACGAAUUAUCAAGGGGUCCCCAUAACAACCCCGAUCAUGUUAGGAGCUCUCGUUUAUGGAACAUAACACCGGUAGCCGAAACUAAGGGGGCAAAGGUGCAACAAAACACCAGGCUAGAAAGACCGAGCCUUCCACCUUUUACCAAGUAUAUAGGUGCAUUAAAUUAAAUAGCAUUGAAUAUGGUGGUAUGAAAAGGAACGCAUGUUAUCACAUGGAAGCAACUACACCUGCAACUAGCAACGCUAACAACAUGGAUAAUCAAGCAGUAACAUAGCCAAUCAUUGGUUUGCUAGGUCGAACAGGUUGAAGGUUAUCAUGGUAUUGUUGAGAGGCUGAUAUUUAACAUGUGGUAGGCAACGAGACAUAAUCGAUAGAAGCGAUAAAACUAGCAUGGCAAUGAUAGUAAUGGUAUCUGGGGAAAUGAUCAUCUUGCCUGAGAUCCCGCUUGGAAGAAGAAUGACUCCAUGAAGCAGACGAACCGAUGUAGUCGAACGGGUCCUCACAAUCCGACACGCUUGCGGAACUCUAUCGAGAUGAAGCAAACCGGAAACAAGCAUCACCACACGAGAAUCACCACAUGAUGCAAGACACAUAUGAUGCAUGAACGGUCUAAUGCCAGACAUGACAAUCACAACAAUCAAACACUACACAUUAAGUGAAGCUCAAUGUGCAACGAGUUGCAUAUUGACGAAACUCCACAUAUGAAUUAUUUAGUUCACUCCCGGUUAUUUACACGGAAAUUUUAAUGUUGUCAAACAUGACACGGGGUGAAGCACAAAUUAAUCUACCUAGCUAGGCAUUUUAAAUGAGGCCGGAAACGUCAUAUAGCAUCUCCGAAAUGACCCCACGUGUUACAUCUUAAUUCUGUCCAGAUUUGUCCUAAUCACAAUUUAGGUUUGUUAAACGCCAAAACAAAGUGGUUCACAUGAUUCUACUCGUCGUUUUGCUCCAUUUUCCUAUAUGGCACAUCUCCAACGGAGCUACGGUUAAAUAACUACGGGCUAAACCGUUUCUAUCACGUCAACACGCAAACUGAUGCAAACAUCAUGUUUAAGUAUUUUUAUCAUGCAUGAAAGUUAGAAAUUAUUAAUCUACAUGAAAUUCUAGUCAAGUUUCAUAUAAAAAUUAUUCUGAUCCGAUGCACGGUUUAAAAGUUAAAACCAAUUUUAAAAUAUGCUUGAAAACGGUAAAUCGGUAGAUUAAACAAUACAUCGCAGAAGGAAAAAAAUCUACAUGGCCCGAAUUGAACCAAAGUGCACGGGGCGCGGGGCUGGAAUCAGCCCAAGACGGUUCUGUGAGCAUGAUUGAAAAAGAAAACACAGGAAAAAAAAAUAAAGAGGCUCCCUAGGAUUCGAUCCCAGGACCUCAGGUGCAAAGCAUUGACGCUAACCAGCUGGGCAGGCUACUACACGUGAAAAUAAUUGGGCCUCUAGCAUAAAUGAAGCAGCACGAGGAUCUCAUUCCGGAGAGACAAUAUUUGCAGAAAACAAAAUAAAUGUGGAGUUGGGGGGAUUUGAACCCACGACCUCCUCGGUGCAGACCAACGAGCUGACCAGUUGGACUGCUGCGUGUUUGUGCUACAAAAAAAUGAUUUCGCAAGGUGAAUCAAUACUUACGCGGAUCUGAACGAGAUUAAAAACGCUGAAUCUGAACCUGAGAAGCAGAUGAGGCUGGCUAUGGAUGGGAAGCAGGUCAACGCCUCGGAAUGGACGCAGCUGGCGAUGGAGAGGUUGGGGAGGGCCGGAUCUGGGACGAGGAGCUCGUCGGGGCUCGGUUUUCGCAGGAACCAGGCGAGGACGGGGUGCUGCCGUCGGGUCCCGUCAUCCCCACUUGUUUUCCUUGAAGCUACACACGCCAUGGAUGCUGCUCCUUCCCGACGAGAGAGAGAUCAGAGAACGAGAGGGAAAAGGGAGCCACGGAAAGAGGGACGCGGCGGGGCUGACCUGGCGGCGCACUUCUGCUUCGCGGUUUGGCUGAAGUGGUCGAAGGUCACGGCGCGGCUGGCUGCUACUGCUGUCGGUGCGGGCCACUGCAGUGAGCUCCGAGAAGACCAUGGCGGGGCUGCAACAGGGGACCUGCUGGUCCAUGGAGCAGGUGGAGCUUGACGGCGCCCAUGGCUCCUCUGCUGGUGGCCUCACGGUCGCUGGGGCUGGUGCACGCAGGCGGAUCGAGGGAGGCGGCGGUUCUGGAUGGAUGGAUGGAUUUGUUUUGGAAUCAGGGAGGAACCCGAUGGAGGAGGAGGCUGGUUGGGUAGCUGGGGAUUCCAAGGCAAGCAGGUGGCAGCGGGAUGAGGGAUUGGAUAGGGGUAGGCUAGGGUUAGGCUAGAAUGGACAUAAUUACAAUAAGCGGAUUUGUGGUAGGGGUUGCCAAGACCCUCCGAUUAAAUCGGACGGACGAAAUAAAUAGGCUAGGAAGCCCAAUGGACAAACCGAUGACGUUUUGCGGUAAAACGGGGUUGAUCCGGAUCCAACGGUCACGACCGCCCGGUUCGGAUCCGUGGAAGGUUCCGGACUAGGUUGCGGACAGGUCGGUGCACUGCGCAGAGGGGCUAGGCAGGGAUGAGAGGGAAAACGGGCGACGCGGCAACGUAUUUUAAAAACACCGACAACCUUCCGACGGUAGUCCGAAUACGGUGCCGCUACGGUCGACCGUUCGGGUACCAGACAGACUCCGAUCGCGACGAAAUUCGACAGGCGGUCUAGCUAUAUUAAAAUACGACCGCACGUCGAAUAGCAAGCCAAUCAGAGAAGGUUUUCGCACACUUUUAAAACUGGGUUCGACGAUGCCGCGGGCGCGUGCGUGUGCGGUCGGGCUCAGAACGGACAACGACGAGAACCGGCAACUAACAACGGAUGCAAGUUUUAAAAACUGGCGGCAACGGAGAUGCCGAUGCAAUGCAGAUGAUGCGCAUGAUGCGAUGAUGAUGCGACAAAAGAAAAAUAGACACACGGCGAAAACAGAAAGAAAGGAGAAUCUUCUGGAACGUCGGCAUCGGGUGUCACAACUCUCCUACACUACAAGAGGAUCUCGCCCCGAGAUCCAAGAAAGGGGGAGAGGAUGAGAAAGCAAGAGGUAAAAAUUUAGUCGCUUCUUGACAAACGAGUGAAACCAACGAUCCUUGAAGGUUGCAAGGAGAUGAGGAAUGACAUGGGAAAGAAGCAAGAAUUCACGGAAAAUUUCGGCAGCACUUCGGUAGGAAAAUGGGACAAAAAAUUCGAUAAGAAGGUAGAAAUAGACAAUAUUCACAACAAACAAGUAAAUAGAACAAGGGAACAACAUGACCUUGAUAGGAUAACAUGAUUGACCCAAAGAGCAACGUCACAAUGCCUCCGGAACAAGAGAAUAUUAACUAGCUCAUACGGAAGAAGAGAAUGAAGAAAAGAAUGACAACUAUCAUCACAAUAGAAUUGAAGAUCCUCCGGACUGAGAAUUGACGUAGCAAUUGGAAACCCAACAACCAAAGGAACAAGAUAGUAGUGGGCUUAUGAAAAUCAUCUCAACAAUACGAAGUGACAACCAACCGCUAAAGGAACAAGGAUAGCUUGGGAGCAACAAGAAAUGGACACUUCUUACACCAAGAGGGUACAUUGAGAACUGGGAUUAAUGACAAACACCAUGAUAGCAACAAUCCAUAGGAAAAGCUAUAGGUGAAAUCCAAACCAAGAUAGCUCAAAUGAAGAAAUCAUGGGUUGAAAAUAUUUCAUGAUCAAAGAAUUGGUGGGUUUAAUUAUCUCAUACUUGAAAGGAAAACUCUUCGAGGCUCCUACACUAACAAGAAUGCUAUAAUACCACCUCAAAGGAAAAGGAAGAACAAAUGCACUUGGAAAUGCAAGAGAAGAAAAACUUGAGGUUCUCCAAUAAGAUUCUUGAAGAACACUUGAGAAUGAAUUGAAACCUUGAUGAACCACCAUGAAGGACCUUCGUAUACAAAUGAAUGAUGCAACAAUAUGAAGGUAGAAAAGAAUAAGAUUAUGACCUUACCAAUAUUUAGAUGAAGCCUCACAAAGAGAUACUUAAAAGAACUUGGAACUCCGGAAAAGAAAAGAUAGGCACUUGAGAAAAGAAUUGAUAUCAUGGGCCCUCCGGAAGAAGAAUUGAAAUCUCUUGGAAGAAGGAAGGACAAUAAUAAGAAUUAUGUUAUGCUCAUCCUUCAUCAAAUUAAAUUGAUGACAAGCAACGGAUCUAGCAUACGACUUAUUCUACUAGAAAUGAAUCUUGAAGAUGCACAGAGAGAUAAGCGCCACUUGAGGCAUAAUUGAAGGAAGCACCGGAAAGAAUUCCCAAUUGAAUGGGAAUUCCAAGAAUGCAUGGAAACACCUGAGAAUGAAGAGAUCAUGAGCCACCUGAGAGAAAACUUGAACAAGGCACCGGAUAAUCGAGAGACGAACGAAGAGACAACAAUUGAGAAGAAUUGCGGAUGAAAGCUGAAACCUGAGAACGAAGAAGUCUUCUGAAAUGAUGGCCUUCGGAGGAUCGAGAAUGAAAACAACUCAGAAGUGCACCGAAUAGCAGAAAGGGAUUACCCAUGAUUGGAGCAAAUAAGAUGACGACACCAAGCUGAAAUGAUGAAUUUCCAAGAGAAUGAACCAAGAUUCGAGAGAAACACUUCUUCGGACUUGAAAGAAGAGGAUGAUGAGAAGAACACCACCAAGAAUUAACUAGGGCACUCCGGAAUAAGAGAAUGCAAGAUUGAGCCAAAUAUGAGAAUUAAUUCGAAUAGGCCUUGGAGAAGGGAUAUGACUGAUGAAAUUCAUACUUAUGUCAUAGUUGAAAUAAUUAGAGAACUUCGGGAAUUUUUUUAAAAGAGCCAGGACAGAUCCUGGGAAAGAACCUGUGGGUUAUGGGCCCACUCAAAGAAACCACCAUUGAAAAGAUUGCUUAGAAGAGAGAUAAUGCACCGGUAUGAAGAGAACUAGAUGAGGUUAGCAGCUCGAAAUAAUUGAAAAGAUUGGAAACAAAAACUUCUGAAAUAUCUUGACACUCCGGAUAGAAAGAGAGAGGAAUUAGCAACAAGAUAGGCUCAUAACAAUUUCCAAUAUAGGAAAGAAUUACAAGGAUGAAUGGAUAAGAUGACACCGACAACUAAAUUGAAUUCACCGGUAAGGAUGACAAGACUAAAUAAAGAUGAAAGCGAAGCGUAUGAGUGCCAAACCUCGAGUUUCCUCGCGGUGGCCCCGCACGGUGCUCCGUUUUGGACCAGCACCAUCAGCAUCGGCCCUCCCUGUAUUAUGUGAAAUUACUCCUCGGGUUCAUGACGCCCUAUGCUUUCAGUAUUAACAAAGUUAUUAUGUUGGGCAAAUGUAGUACCAAUGUUGGGCCUUGCCAGACCAGCUUUAAUCUAAAACGAAUUAUCAAGGGGGUCCCCAUAACAACCCCGACCGUGUUAGGAGCGCUCGUUUAUGGAACAUAACACCGGUACCCGAAACUAAGGGGGCAAAGGUGGAACAAAACACCAGGCUAGAAAGACCGAGCCUUCCACCUUUUACCAAGUAUAUAGGUGCAUUAAAUUAAAUAGCAUUGAAUAUGGUGGUAUGACAAGGAACCCAUGUUAUCACAUUGAAGCAACUACACCUGCAACUAGCAACGCUAACAACAUGGAUAAGCAAGCUGUAACAUAGCCAAUCAUUGGUUUGCUAGGUCGAACAGGUUGAAGGUUAUCAUGGUAUUGUUGAGAGGCUGAUAUUUAACAUGUGGUAGGCAACGAGACAUAAUCGAUAGAAGCGAUAAAACUAGCAUGGCAAUGAUAGUAAUGGUAUCUGGGGAAAUGAUCAUCUUGCCUGAGAUCCCGCUUGGAAGAAGAAUGACUCCAUGAAGCAGACGAACCGAUGUAGUCGAACGGGUCCUCACAAUCCGACACGCUUGCGGAACUCUAUCGAGAUGAAGCAAACCGGAAACAAGCAUCACCACACGAGAAUCACCACACGAUGCAAGACACAUAUGAUGCAUGAACGGUCUAAUGCCAGGCAUGCCAAUCACAACAAUCAAACACUACACAUUAUGUGAAGCUCAAUGUGCAACGAGUUGCAUAUUGAUGAAACUCCACAUAUUAAUUACUUAGUUCACUCCCGGUUAUUUACACGGCAAUUUUAAUGUUGUCAAACAUGACACGGGGUGAAGCAUAAAUUAAUCUACCUAGCUAGGCAUUUUAAAUGAGACCGGAAAUGUCAUAUAACAUCUCUGAAAUGACCCCACGUGUUACAUCUUAAUUCUGUCCAGAUUUGUCCUAAUCACAAUUUAGGUUUGUUAAACGCCAAAACAAAGUGGUUCACAUGAUUCUACUCGUCGUUCUGCUCCAUUUUCCUAUAUGGCACAUCUCCAAAGGAGCUACGGUUAAAUAACUAUGGGCUAAACCGUUUCUAUCACGUCAACACGCAAACCGAUGCAAACAUCAUGUUUAAGUAUUUUUAUCAUGCAUGAAAGUUGGAAAUUAUUAAUCUACAUGAAAUUCUAGUCAAGUUUCAUAUAAAAAUUAUUCCGAUCCGAUGCACGGUUUAAAAGUUAAAACCAAUUUUAAAAUAUGCUUGAAAACGGUAAAUCGGUAGAUUAAACAAUACAUCGCAGAAGGAAAAAAAAUCUACAUGGCCCGAAUUGAACCAAAGUGCACCGGGCGCGGGGCUGGAAUCAGCCCGAGACGUCUCUGUGAGCAUGAUUGAAAAAGAACACACAGGAAAAAAAAUAAAGAGGCUCCCUAGGAUUCGAUCCCAGGACCUCAGGUGCAAAGCAUUGACGCUAACCAACUGGGCAGGCUACUACACGUGAAAAUAAUUGGGCCUCUAGCAUAAAUGAAGCAACACGAGGAUCUCAUUCCCGAGAGACAAUAUUUGCAGAAAACAAAAUAAAUGUGGAGUUGGGGGGAUUUGAACCCACGACCUCCUCGAUGCAGACCAACGAGCUGACCAGUUGGACUGCUGCGUGUUUGUGCUACAAACAAAGGAUUUCGCAAGGUGAAUUAGUACUUACGCGGAUCUGAACGAGAUUAAAAACGCUGAAUCUGAACCUGAGAAGCAGAUGAGGCUGGCUAUGGAAGGGAAGCAGGUCAACGCCUCGGUAAGGACGCAGCUGGCGAUGGAGAGGUUGGGGAGGGCCGGAUCUGGGACGAGGAGCUCGUCGGGGCUCGGUUUUCGCAGGAACCAGGCGAGGACGGGGUGUUGGCGUCGGGUCCCGUCAUCCCCACUUGUUUGCCUUAAAGCUACACACGCCAUGGAUGCUUCUCCUUCUUGACGAGAGAGAGAUCAGAGAACGAGAGGGAAAAGGGAGCCACGGAAAGAGGGACGCGGCGGGGCUGACCUGGCGGCGCACUUCUGCUGCUCGGUCUGGCUGAAGUGGUCGAAGGUCACGGCGCGGCUGGCUGCUACUGCUGUCGGUGCGGGCCAUUGCAAUGAGCUCCGAGAAGACCAUGGCGGGGCUACAGCAGGGGACCUGCUGGUCCAUGGAGCAGGUGGAGCUUGACGGUGUCCAUGGCUCCUCUGCUGGUGGCCUCACGGUCGCUGGGGCUGGUGCACGCACGUAGAUCGAGGGAGGUGGCGGUCUGGAUGGAUGGAUGGAUUUGUUUUGGAAUCAGGGAGGAACCCGAUGGAGGAGGAGGCUGGUUGGGUUGCUGGGGAUUCCAAGGCAAGCUGGUGGCGGCAGGAUGAGGGAUUGGACAGGGGUAGGCUAGGGUUAGGCUAGAAUGGACAUAAUUACAAUAAGCGGAUUUGUGGUAGGGGUUGCCAAGACCCUCCGAUUAAAUCAGACGGACGAAAUAAAUAGGCUAGGAAGCCCAAUGGACAAACCGAUGACGUUUUGCGGUAAAACGGGGUUGAUCCGGAUCCAACGAUCACGACCGCCCGGUUCGGAUCCGUGGAAGGUUCCGGACUAGGUUGCGGACAGGUCGGUGCACUGCGCAGAGGGGCUAGGCAGGGAUGAGAGGGAAAACGGGCGACGCGGCAACGUAUUUUAAAAACACCGACAACCUUCCGACGGUAGUCCGAAUACGGUGCCGCUACGGUCGACCGUUCGNNNNNNNNNNNNNNNNNNNNNNNNNNNNNNNNNNNNNNNNNNNNNNNNNNNNNNNNNNNNNNNNNNNNNNNNNNNNNNNNNNNNNNNNNNNNNNNNNNNNCUUUGUGUGUAUCAAACGUCGCAACGUAACUGGGUGACUAUAAAGAUGCUCUACAGGUAUCUCCGAAGGUGUUAGUUGAGUUAGUAUGGAUCAAGACUGGGAUUUGUCACUCCGUGUGACGGAGAGGUAUCUCGGGGCCCACUCGGUAAUACAACAUCACACACAAGCCUUGCAAGCAAUGUAACUUAGUGUAAGUUGCGGGAUCUUGUAUUACGGAACGAGUAAAGAGACUUGCCGGUAAACGAGAUUGAAAUAGGUAUGCGGAUACUGACGAUCGAAUCUCGGGCAAGUAACAUACCGAAGGACAAAGGGAAUGACAUACGGGAUUAUACGAAUCCUUGGCACUGAGGUUCAAACGAUAAGAUCUUCGUAGAAUAUGUAGGAUCCAAUAUGGGCAUCCAGGUCCCGCUAUUGGAUAUUGACCGAGGAGUCUCUCGGGUCAUGUCUACAUAGUUCUCGAACCCGCAGGGUCUGCACACUUAAGGUUCGACGUUGUUUUAUGCGUAUUUGAGUUAUAUGGUUGGUUACCGAAUGUUGUUCGGAGUCCCGGAUGAGAUCACGGACGUCACGAGGGUUUCCGGAAUGGUCCGGAAACGAAGAUUGAUAUAUAGGAUGACCUCAUUUGAUUACCGGAAGGUUUUCGGAGUUACCGGGAAUGUACCGGGAAUGACGAAUGGGUUCCGGGAGUUCACCGGAGGGGGGCAACCCACUCCGGGGAAGCCCAUAGGCAUUUGGGGGGUCACACCAGCCCUUAGUGGGCUGGUGGGACAGCCCACCAAUCCCCUAUGCGCCAAGAGAGAAAAAUCAAAGGAAAGAAAAAAAGGGGGAAGAAGUGGGAAGGGGGAAGGACUCCCUCCCACCAAACCAAGUAGGACUCGGUUUGGGGGGGAAGAGUCCUCCCCCCUGGCUCGGCCGACCCCUUGGGGAUCCAUUGGACCCCAAGGCAAGGUCCCCCUCCCUCCUCCUAUAUAUAUGGGGCUUUUAGGGCAGAUUUGAGACGACUUUCUCACGACUGCCCGACCACAUACCUCCAUAGUUUUUCCUCUAGAUCGUGUUUCUGCGGAGCUCGGGCGGAGCCCUGCUGAGACAAGAUCAUCACCAACCUCCGGAGCGCCGUCACGCUGCCGGAGAACUCUUCUACCUCUCCGUCUCUCUUGCUGGAUCAAGAAGGCCGAGAUCAUCGUCGAGCUGUACGUGUGCUGAACGCGGAGGUGCCGUCCGUUCGGUACUAGAUCGUGGGACUGAUCGCGGGAUUGUUCGCGGGGCGGAUCGAGGGACGUGAGGACGUUCCACUACAUCAACCGCGUUCUCUAACGCUUCUGCUGUACGAUCUACAAGGGUACGUAGAUCACUCAUCCCCUCUCGUAGAUGGACAUCACCAUGAUAGGUCUUCGUGCGCGUAGGAAAAUUUUUGUUUCCCAUGCGACGUUCCCCAACAGUGGCAUCAUGAGCUAGGUUCAUGCGUAGAUGUCUUCUCGAGUAGAACACAAAAGGUUUUGUGGGCGGUGAUGUGCGUUUUGCUGCCCUCCUUAGUCUUUUCUUGAGUCCGCGGUAUUGUUGGAUUGAAGCGGCUUGGACCGACAUUACUCGUACGCUUACGAGAGACUGGUUUCAUCGUUACGAGUAACCCCCUUUGCUCAAAGAUGACUGGCAAGUGACGGUUUCUCCAACUUUAGUUGAAUCGGAUUUGACCGAGGAGGUCCUUGGAUGAGGUUAAAUAGCAACUCAUAUAUCUCCGUUGUGGUGUUUGCGUAAGUAAGAUGCGAUCCUACUAGAUACCCUUGGUCACCACGUAAAACAUGCAACAACAAAAUUAGAGGACGUCUAACUUGUUUUUGCAGGGUAUGAUUGUGAUGUGAUAUGGCCAAUGAUGUGAUGUGAUAUAUUGGAUGUAUGAGAUGAUCAUGUUGUAAUAGAAAUAUCGACUUGCACGUCGAUGGUACGGCAACCGGCAGGAGCCAUAGGGUUGUCUUUAUACUAACAUAUGUGCUUGCAGAUGCGUUUACUAUUUUGCUAGGAUGUAGCUUUAGUAGUGAUAGCAUAAGUAGCAUGACAACCCCGAUGGCGACACGUUGAUGGAGAUCAUGAUGAUGGAGAUCAUGGUGUGGCGCCGGUGACAAGAAGAUCGUGCCGGUGCUUUGGUGAUGGAGAUCAAGAAGCACGUGAUGAUGGCCAUAUCAUGUCACUUAUGAAUUGCAUGUGAUGUUAAUCCUUUUAUGCACCUUAUUUUGCUUAGAACGACGGUAGCAUUAUGAGGUGAUCUCUCACUAAAAUUUCAAGACGAAAUUGUGUUCUCCCCGACUGUGCACCGUUGCUACAGUUCGUCGUUUCGAGACACCACGUGAUGAUCGGGUGUGAUAGACUCAACGUUCACAUACAACGGGUGCAAAACAGUUGCGCACGCGGAACACUCGGGUUAAGCUUGACGAGCCUAGCAUGUGCAGACAUGGCCUCGGAACACAUGAGACCGAAAGGUCGAUCAUGAAUCAUAUAGUUGAUAUGAUUAGCAUAGGGAUGCUUACCACUGAAACUACUCUCGACUCACGUGAUGAUCGGACUUGGGAUAGUGUAAGUGGAUCAUGAACCACUCAAAUGACUAGAGAGAUGUACUUUUUGAGUGGGAGUUUGGCGUAUAAUUUGAUUAAGUUGAACUCUAAUUAUCUUGAACAUAGUCUAAGUCCACUUUGAAUAUAUUUGUGUUGUAGAUCAUGGCUCACGCGAGUGUCAUCCUGAAUUUUAAUACGUUCCUAGAGAAAGCUAAGUUGAAAGAUGAUGGAAGCAACUUUGUAGACUGGGCUCGUAAUCUUAAGCUAAUCUUACAAGCUGGAAAGAAGGAUUAUGUCCUUAAUGCUGCGCUAGGAGAUGAACCACCCGCUACGGCUGAUCAGGAUGUUAAGAACGCUUGGUUAGCGCGUAAGGAGGACUACUCAAUAGUUCAAUGUGCAGUCUUGUAUGGCUUAGAACCGGGACUUCAACGUCGCUUUGAGCGUCAUGGAGCAUUUGAGAUGUUCCAGGAGUUGAAGUUUAUCUUUCAGAAGAACGCCCGGAUCGAGAGGUAUGAGACCUCCGAUAAAUUCUAUGCUUGCAAGAUGGAGGAAAACUCGUCUGUCAGUGAACAUGUGCUCAAAAUGUCUGGGUACUCAAACCGUCUAGCUGAACUGGGGAUUGAACUCCCGCAAGAAGCUAUCACUGACAGAAUCCUUCAAUCACUGCCGCCAAGCUAUAAAGGCUUUGUGUUGAACUACAACAUGCAAGGGAUGAACAAGUCUCCCGGCGAGUUGUUUGCGAUGCUGAAAGUCGCAGAGUCUGAACUCCGUAAAGAGCAUCAAGUGUUGAUGGUGAGCAAGACCACUAGUUUCAAGAGAAACGGCAAAGGCAAGAAGGGCAAUUCGAAGAAGAGCGGCAAGCCUGUUGCCAAUCCGCCGAAGAAACCCAAGGCUGGCCCUAAGCCUGAAACAGAGUGCUUCUAUUGCAAGGGUAUGGGUCACUGGAAGCGCAAUUGCCCCAAGUAUCUGGCAGAUAAGAAGGCGGGCAAAGAAAAAUCAGGUAUAUUUGAUAUACAUGUUAUUGAUGUGUACUUAACCGGCUCUCGUAGUAGUGCCUGGGUAUUCGAUACCGGUUCUGUUGCUCACAUUUGCAACUCGAAGCAGGAACUGCGGAAUAGACGAAGGCUGGCGAAAGACGAAGUGACGAUGCGCGUGGGAAACGGUUCCACGGUUGAUGCAAUCGCCGUCGGCGCAGUGUCACUUCAACUACCAUCGGGAUUAGUGAUGAACUUAAAUCAUUGUUAUUUAGUGCCUGCGUUGAGCAUGAACAUUAUAUCUGGAUCUUGUUUAUUGCGAGACGGUUACUCUUUUAAGUCUGAGAAUAAUGGUUGUUCUAUUUCUAUGAGUAACAUCUUUUAUGGUCAUGCACCGAAUGUGAGAGGAUUGUUCAUAUUGAAUCUUGAUAGAGAUACGCAUAUACAUAACAUUGAGACCAAAAGAGUUAGAGUAAACAAUGAUAGCGCCAUAUUUUUUGUGGCACUGCCGCUUGGGUCAUAUUGGUGUAAAGCGCAUGAAGAAACUCCAUGCUGAUGGACUUUUGGAGUCACUUGACUUUGAUUCACUUGACACGUGCGAACCAUGCCUCAUGGGCAAGAUGACUAAGACUCCGUUCUCCGGAACAAUGGAGCGUGCAAGUGACUUGUUGGAAAUCAUACAUACCGAUGUGUGUGGUCCAAUGAGCGUGGAGGCACGCGGCGGAUAUCGUUAUUUUCUCACCUUCACUGACGAUUUAAGUAGAUAUGGUUAUGUCUACUUGAUGAAGCACAAGUCUGAAACAUUUGAAAAGUUCAAGCAAUUUCAGAGUGAAGUGGAAAAUCAUCGUAACAAGAAGAUCAAGUUCCUACGGUCUGAUCGUGGGGGUGAAUAUCUGAGUUUCGAGUUUGGUACUCACUUAAGACAAUGUGGAAUUGUUUCGCAGUUAACACCGCCUGGAACACCACAGCGUAAUGGUGUGUCCGAACGUCGUAAUCGUACUUUGUUAGAGAUGGUGCGAUCUAUGAUGUCUCUUACUGAUUUGCCGUUAUCAUUUUGGGGUUAUGCAUUAGAAACAGCUGCAUUCACUUUAAAUAGGGCACCAUCAAAAUCCGUUGAGACGACACCAUACGAACUGUGGUAUGGCAAAAGACCAAAGUUGUCGUUUCUUAAAGUUUGGGGAUGUGAUGCUUAUGUCAAAAAGCUUCAGCCUGAAAAGCUGGAACCCAAAGCGGAAAAAUGCGUCUUCAUAGGUUACCCAAAGGAGACAGUUGGGUACACCUUCUAUCUCAAAUCCGAGGGCAAAGUGUUUGUUGCUAAAAACGGAACUUUUCUCGAGAAGGAGUUUCUCUCGAGAGAAUUGAGUGGGAGGAAGAUAGAACUUGACGAGGUUGUCGAACCUCUCAUCCCUCUGGAUGGUGGCGCAGGGCAAGGGGAAACCUCUGUCAUUGCGACGCCGGUUGAGGAGGAAGUUAAUGAUGAUGAUCAUGAAACUCCAGGUCAAGUUUCUGUUGAACCACGCAGGUCGACGAGAUCACGCGCUGCUCCAGAGUGGUACGGUAAUCCCGUCUUAUCAAUCAUGUUGUUAGACAACAAUGAACCUGCAAAUUAUGAAGAAGCAAUGGUGGGCCCAGAUUCCAACAAAUGGCUAGAAGCCAUGAAAUCCGAGAUAGGAUCCAUGUAUGAGAACAAAGUGUGGACUUUGGAGAUACUACCUGAGGGCCGCAAGGCUAUUCAGAACAAAUGGAUCUUUAAGAAGAAGACGGACGCUGACGGUAAUGUGACCGUUUAUAAAGCUCGACUUGUGGCAAAGGGUUUUUCACAAGUUCCAGGAAUUGACUACGAUGAGACUUUCUCUCCCGUAGCGAUGCUUAAGUCCGUCAGAAUCAUGUUAGCAAUAGCUGCAUUUUUCGAUUAUGAAAUCUGGCAGAUGGAUGUCAAAACGGCGUUCCUUAACGGUUUCCUUAAGGAAGAGUUGUAUAUGAUGCAACCCGAAGGUUUUGUCGAUCCUAAAAAUGCUGACAAGGUGUGCAAGCUCCAGCGAUCCAUUUAUGGACUGGUGCAAGCAUCUCGGAGUUGGAACAAGCGCUUUGAUGAGGUGAUCAAAGCAUUUGGGUUUAUACAAGUGGUUGGAGAAUCUUGUAUUUACAAGAAAGUGAGUGGGAGCUCUGUGGCGUUUCUAAUAUUAUAUGUGGAUGACAUAUUACUGAUUGGAAACAACGUAGAGCUUUUGGAGAGCAUAAAAGGUUACUUGAAUGAAAGUUUCUCUAUGAAGGACCUAGGAGAAGCUGCUUACAUUCUAGGCAUUAAGAUCUAUAGGGAUAGAUCAAAACGCCUGAUAGGACUUUCACAAAGCACAUACCUUGAUAAAGUUUUGAAGAGGUUCAAAAUGGAACAGUCCAAGAAAGGGUUCUUGCCAGUGUUACAAGGUACAAGAUUGAGUAAGACUCAGUGCCCAGCAACUGAUGAAGAUAGAGAGCAUAUGCGCUCCGUCCCCUAUGCUUCAGCCGUAGGCUCUAUCAUGUAUGCAAUGCUGUGCACUAGACCGGAUGUUAGCCUGGCCAUAAGUAUGGCAGGUAGGUUCCAGAGUAAUCCAGGAGUGGAUCACUGGACGGCGGUCAAGAAUAUCCUGAAGUACCUGAAAAGGACUAAGGAGAUGUUUCUCGUGUAUGGAGGUGACGAAGAGCUCGCCGUAAAAGGUUACGUCGAUGCAAGCUUUGACACAGAUCCGGACGACUCUAAGUCGCAAACCGGAUACGUAUUUAUUCUUAAUGGGGGUGCAGUAAGCUGGUACAGUUCCGAGCAAAGCGUCGUAGCAGAUUCUACAUGUGAAGCGGAGUACAUGGCUGCCUCGGAGGCGGCUAAGGAGGGUGUCUGGAUGAAGCAGUUCAUGACGGAUCUUGGAGUGGUGCCAAGUGCACUGGAUCCAAUAACCUUGUUCUGUGACAACACUGGUGCCAUUGCCUUAGCAAAGGAACCAAGGUUUCACAAGAAGACCAGACACAUCAAACGACGCUUCAACCUCAUCCGCGACUACAUCGAGGAGGAGGACAUAAAUAUAUGCAAAGUGCACACGGAUCUGAAUGUAGCAGACCCGCUGACUAAACCUCUUCCACGGCCAAAACAUGAUCGACACCAGAACUGUAUGGGUGUUAGAUUUAUUACAAUGUAAUUCACAUGGUGAUGUGAGGGCUAGAUUAUUGACUCUAGUGCAAGUGGGAGACUGUUGGAAUUAUGCCCUAGAGGCAAUAAUAAAUGUAUAGUUAUUAUUAUAAUUCCUGUAUCAAGAUAAUAGUUUAUUAUCCAUGCUAUAAUUGUAUUGAAUGAAGACUCAUUUACAUGUGUGGAUACAUAGACAAAACACCGUCCCUAGCAUGCCUCUAGUUGGCUAGCCAGUUGAUCGAUGAUAGUCAGUGUCUUCUGAUUAUGAACAAGGUGUUGUUGCUUGAUAACUGGAUCACGUCAUUGGGAGAAUCACGUGAUGGACUAGACCCAAACUAAUAGACGUAGCAUGUUGAUCGUGUCAUUUUGUUGCUACUGUUUUCUGCGUGUCAAGUAUUUAUUCCUAUGACCAUGAGAUCAUAUAACUCACUGACACCGGAGGAAUGCUUUGUGUGUAUCAAACGUCGCAACGUAACUGGGUGACUAUAAAGAUGCUCUACAGGUAUCUCCGAAGGUGUUAGUUGAGUUAGUAUGGAUCAAGACUGGGAUUUGUCACUCCGUGUGACGGAGAGGUAUCUCGGGGCCCACUCGGUAAUACAACAUCACACACAAGCCUUGCAAGCAAUGUAACUUAGUGUAAGUUGCGGGAUCUUGUAUUACGGAACGAGUAAAGAGACUUGCCGGUAAACGAGAUUGAAAUAGGUAUGCGGAUACUGACGAUCGAAUCUCGGGCAAGUAACAUACCGAAGGACAAAGGGAAUGACAUACGGGAUUAUACGAAUCCUUGGCACUGAGGUUCAAACGAUAAGAUCUUCGUAGAAUAUGUAGGAUCCAAUAUGGGCAUCCAGGUCCCGCUAUUGGAUAUUGACCGAGGAGUCUCUCGGGUCAUGUCUACAUAGUUCUCGAACCCGCAGGGUCUGCACACUUAAGGUUCGACGUUGUUUUAUGCGUAUUUGAGUUAUAUGGUUGGUUACCGAAUGUUGUUCGGAGUCCCGGAUGAGAUCACGGACGUCACGAGGGUUUCCGGAAUGGUCCGGAAACGAAGAUUGAUAUAUAGGAUGACCUCAUUUGAUUACCGGAAGGUUUUCGGAGUUACCGGGAAUGUACCGGGAAUGACGAAUGGGUUCCGGGAGUUCACCGGAGGGGGGCAACCCACUCCGGGGAAGCCCAUAGGCAUUUGGGGGGUCACACCAGCCCUUAGUGGGCUGGUGGGACAGCCCACCAAUCCCCUAUGCGCCAAGAGAGAAAAAUCAAAGGAAAGAAAAAAAGGGGGAAGAAGUGGGAAGGGGGAAGGACUCCCUCCCACCAAACCAAGUAGGACUCGGUUUGGGGGGGAAGAGUCCUCCCCCCUGGCUCGGCCGACCCCUUGGGGAUCCAUUGGACCCCAAGGCAAGGUCCCCCUCCCUCCUCCUAUAUAUAUGGGGCUUUUAGGGCAGAUUUGAGACGACUUUCUCACGGCUGCCCGACCACAUACCUCCAUAGUUUUUCCUCUAGAUCGUGUUUCUGCGGAGCUCGGGCGGAGCCCUGCUGAGACAAGAUCAUCACCAACCUCCGGAGCGCCGUCACGCUGCCGGAGAACUCUUCUACCUCUCCGUCUCUCUUGCUGGAUCAAGAAGGCCGAGAUCAUCGUCGAGCUGUACGUGUGCUGAACGCGGAGGUGCCGUCCGUUCGGUACUAGAUCGUGGGACUGAUCGCGGGAUUGUUCGCGGGGCGGAUCGAGGGACGUGAGGACGUUCCACUACAUCAACCGCGUUCUCUAACGCUUCUGCUGUACGAUCUACAAGGGUACGUAGAUCACUCAUCCCCUCUCGUAGAUGGACAUCACCAUGAUAGGUCUUCGUGCGCGUAGGAAAAUUUUUGUUUCCCAUGCGACGUUCCCCAACAGUGGCAUCAUGAGCUAGGUUCAUGCGUAGAUGUCUUCUCGAGUAGAACACAAAAGGUUUUGUGGGCGGUGAUGUGCGUUUUGCUGCCCUCCUUAGUCUUUUCUUGAGUCCGCGGUAUUGUUGGAUUGAAGCGGCUUGGACCNNNNNNNNNNNNNNNNNNNNNNNNNNNNNNNNNNNNNNNNNNNNNNNNNNNNNNNNNNNNNNNNNNNNNNNNNNNNNNNNNNNNNNNNNNNNNNNNNNNNUGCAAGCUCCAGCGAUCCAUUUAUGGACUGGUGCAAGCAUCUCGGAGUUGGAACAAGCGCUUUGAUGAGGUGAUCAAAGCAUUUGGGUUUAUACAAGUGGUUGGAGAAUCUUGUAUUUACAAGAAAGUGAGUGGGAGCUCUGUGGCGUUUCUAAUAUUAUAUGUGGAUGACAUAUUACUGAUUGGAAACAACGUAGAGCUUUUGGAGAGCAUAAAAGGUUACUUGAAUGAAAGUUUCUCUAUGAAGGACCUAGGAGAAGCUGCUUACAUUCUAGGCAUUAAGAUCUAUAGGGAUAGAUCAAAACGCCUGAUAGGACUUUCACAAAGCACAUACCUUGAUAAAGUUUUGAAGAGGUUCAAAAUGGAACAGUCCAAGAAAGGGUUCUUGCCAGUGUUACAAGGUACGAGAUUGAGUAAGACUCAGUGCCCAGCAACUGAUGAAGAUAGAGAGCAUAUGCGCUCCGUNGUGUUACAAGGUACGAGAUUGAGUAAGACUCAGUGCCCAGCAACUGAUGAAGAUAGAGAGCAUAUGUGCUCGGUCCCCUAUGCUUCAGCCAUAGGCUCUAUCAUGUAUGCAAUGCUGGGCACUAGACCAGAUGUUAGCCUGGCCAUAAGUAUGGCAGGCAGGUUCCAGAGUAAUCCAGGAGUGGAUCACUGGAUAGCGGUCAAGAAUAUCCUAAAGUACCUGAAAAGGACUAAGGAGAUGUUUCUCGUGUAUGGAGGUGACGAAGAGCUCGCCGUAAAAGGUUNNNNNNNNNNNNNNNNNNNNNNNNNNNNNNNNNNNNNNNNNNNNNNNNNNNNNNNNNNNNNNNNNNNNNNNNNNNNNNNNNNNNNNNNNNNNNNNNNNNNGAUACUUGGGGCAAUUGCGCUUCCAGUGACCCAUACCCUUGCAAUAGAAGCACUCUGUUUCAGGCUUAGGUCCAACCUUGGGUUUCUUCGGCGGAUUGGCAACAGGCUUGCCGCUCUUCUUCGAAUUGCCCUUCUUGCCUUUGCCGUUUCUCUUGAAACUAGUGGUCUUGCUCACCAUCAACACUUGAUGCUCUUUACGGAGUUCAGACUCUGCGACUUUCAGCAUCGCAAACAACUCGCGGGGAGACUUGUUCAUCCCUUGCAUGUUGUAGUUCAACACAAAGCCUUUAUAGCUUGGCGGCAGUGAUUGGAGGAUUCUGUCAGUGAUAGCUUCUUGCGGGAGUUCAAUCCCCAGUUCAGCUAGACGGUUUGAGUACCCAGACAUUUUGAGCACAUGUUCACUGACAGACAAGUUUUCCUCCAUCUUGCAAGCAUAGAAUUUAUCGGAGGUCUCAUACCUCUCGAUCCGGGCGUUCUUCUGAAAGAUAAACUUCAACUCCUGGAACAUCUCAAAUGCUCCAUGACGCUCAAAGCGACGUUGAAGUCCCGGCUCUAAGCCAUACAAGACUGCACAUUUAACUAUUGAGUAGUCCUCCUUACGUGAUAACCAAGCGUUCUUAACAUCCUGAUCAGCCGUAGCGGGUGGUUCAUCUCCUAGCGCAGCAUUAAGGACAUAAUCCUUCUUUCCAGCUUGUAAGAUUAGCUUAAGAUUACGAGCCCAGUCUACAAAGUUGCUUCCAUCAUCUUUCAACUUAGCUUUCUCUAGGAACGUAUUAAAAUUNNNNNNNNNNNNNNNNNNNNNNNNNNNNNNNNNNNNNNNNNNNNNNNNNNNNNNNNNNNNNNNNNNNNNNNNNNNNNNNNNNNNNNNNNNNNNNNNNNNNUAAUAAUAACUAUACAUUUAUUAUUGCCUCUAGGGCAUAAUUCCAACAAAUAGUACAAGCAUUCUCAUUGCACAAGAUGUUAUUCAGUAGAAUCUCAGCUUGUUCUACGGUUCGUUCCCUAAAAACACUACCAGCACAACUAUCUAGGUGGUCUUUAGAAGCAUCGGUAAGUCCAUUAUAGAAGAUAUCAAGUAAUUCGUUCUUCUCAAGAGGGUGAUCAGGCAAAGCAUUCAGUAGCUGGAUAAGCCUCCCCCAAGCUUGUGGGAGACUCUCUUCUUCAGCUUGAGCAAAGUUGUAUAUUUCCUGCAAGGCAGCUUGCUUCUUAUGGGUAGGGAAAUAUUUUUCAGAGAAGUAGUAGACCAUAUCCUAGGGGCUACGCACACAACCAGGAGCAAGAGAAGUGAACCAGGUCUUAGCAUCAUCCUUUAGCGAGAAAGGAAACAGCUUGAGCAUAUAGUAGUGGUGGAUCUUUCCCUCACUAGUGAAUAGGGUGGCUAUAUCGUGCAGUUUGGUAAGAUGGGCUACAACCGUUUCAGACUCAUAACCGUGAAAAGGAUCAGAUUCGACCAGAGAGAUUAACUCAGGGUCAAAAGAGAAUUCAUAACCCUUAUCGGUCACAAAGAUAGGCGAAGUGGCAAACUUCGGGUCGUAUUUCAUCCUAGCGUUCAGAGAUUUUUCUUUCCACUUGCGCAGUAAUUUCUCAACAUCAUAGCUAAUCCUCAGCUAUCUCUCCCUCCAUAACAUAAUGCGUAUCAGGCAUAACAGGCAAUUCAGGCAUAGUAGUAGGUUCUACUUCAAUAGUAUCAGCAGUUUCAGAAGUAUCAUCACAUCUAGCAGCAACUCUAGCAAUAUGUGCAUCAAGGAAUGCACCAAGUGGAAAAGUAGUAUCAGGCAUAGCAUCAUCAGGCAUAGUAUCAAGCAUAGCAUCAUCAUAAGCAUCAUGGGUAGCAUAAGUACCAUCAUCAAGCAUAGGCAACAUAUCAAGAUUUCUAGCAGGAGGUGAAGUCGCAAACUUACUCAUAACUGAAGAUGAAUCAAGUGCAGAACUAGAUGGCAGUUCCUUAUCUCUCCUCGCAGUGGAAGGUAAGAUUUUAGUUCUUGGAUCUUUCAGAUUCCUCAUAGUGAUCAGCAGACGUCAAUCCCAAGUGACUCAGAGAAUAUAGUUGUGCUUCCCCGGCAACGGCGCCAGAAAAAGGUCUUGAUAACCCACAAGUGUAGGGGAUCGCAACAGUUUUCGAGGGUAGAGUAUUCAACCCAAAUUUGUUGGUUCGCCAAAGGGGAAGCAAAAGAAUAUUCUCAAGUAUUAGCAGUUGAGUUUGUCAGAUUCAACCACACCUGAAAGAUUAGUGUCUGCAAGCANNNNNNNNNNAGUGGCAAACUAGUAUGAUAGCAACGGUGCCAGAAAUGAUAUGUUGACGGCAGACUAUUCCUAACUGGUGUAUCAAUGGCGCCAGUAAGUUGCACGUGGGCGAGUAACUAUUCUUCCCUGACAACAGUGUCGGAAAAGGAUCUUCCAACAAGUAACAGUGAAGUAGCAAGGAACACCAGUAGUAGCAGCAGCAGAGUAACAGCAGUAGCAACAGUAGUAGCAAAGUGGCCCAAUCCCUUUUGUAGCAAGGGACAAGCCUAGGCAAAGUAACGUAGCAAGGACCAGUAGUAAAAGACUCGUAGGCAGUGGAUCGGUGAUGGAUGAGUAUGACGGAUGUGAUUCAUCAUGUAACAGCUAUAACACGAAGAGAUAUAUAACUAGCUCCCGUUCGUUAAUCUAAUGUAGGCAUGUAUUCCGUAUGUAGUCAUACGUGCUUAGGGGAAAAACUUGCAUGACAUCUAUUGUCCAUCCCUCCUAUGGCAGCGGGGUCCUAAUGGAAACUACGGGAUAUUAAGGUUCUCCUUUUAAUAAAGAACCGGACCAACGCAUUAACACGCGGNNNNNNNNNNNNNNNNNNNNNNNNNNNNNNNNNNNNNNNNNNNNNNNNNNNNNNNNNNNNNNNNNNNNNNNNNNNNNNNNNNNNNNNNNNNNNNNNNNNNGAACUAUAUGGGUGUUAGAUUCGUUAGAAUCACAUGGUGAUGUGAACUAGAUUAUUGACUCUAGUGCAAGUGGGAGACUGUUGGAAAUAUGCCCUAGAGGCAAUAAUAAAUUAGUUAUUAUUAUAUUUCUUUGUUCAUGAUAAUCGUUUAUUAUUCAUGCUAUAAUUCUAUUGAUUGGAAACAUAAUACUUGUGUGGAUACAUAGACAAAACACUGUCCCUAGUAAGCCUCUAGUUGACUAGCUCGUUGAUCAAAGAUGGUCAAGGUUUCCUGGCCAUAGGCAAGUGUUGUUACUUGAUAACAGGAUCACAUUAUUAGGAGAAUCAUGUGAUGGACUAGACCCAAACUAAUGAACGUAGCAUGUUGAUCAUGUCAUUUUGUUGCUACUGUUUUUCUGCGUGUCAAGUAUUUAUUCCUAUGACCAUGAGAUCAUAUAACUCACUGNNNNNNNNNNGUAUCUCGGGGCCCACUCGGUAAUGCAACAUCACACAUAAGCCUUGCAAGCAAAGUAACUUAGUGUAAGUUGCGGGAUCUUGUAUUACGGAACGAGUAAAGANNNNNNNNNNUUCACAACAUAACUGGGUGACUAUAAAGAUGCUCUACAGGUAUCUCCGAAGGUGUCCGUUGAGUUAGUAUGGAUCAAGACUGGGAUUUGUCACUCCGUGUGACAGAGAGAUAUCUCGGGGCCCACUCGGUAAUACAACAUCACACACAAGCCUUGCAAGCAAUGUUACUUAGUGUAUGUCACGGGAUCUUGUAUUACGGAACGAGUAAAGAGACUUGCCGGUAAACGAGNNNNNNNNNNACACCGGAGGAAUGAUUUGUGUGUAUCAAACGUCGCAACGUAACUGGGUGACUAUAAAGAUGCUCUACAGGUAUCUCCGAAGGUGUUAGUUGAGUUAGUAUGGAUCAAGACUGGGAUUUGUCACUCCGUGUGACGGAGAGCUAUUUCGGGGCCCACUCGGUAAUGCAAAAUCACACACAAGCCUUGCAAGCAAUGUAACUUAGUGUAAGUUGCGGGAUCUUGUAUUACGGAACGAGUAAAGANNNNNNNNNNCGAUGAUCGAAUAUCGGGCAAGUAACAUACCGAAGGACAAAGUGAAUGACAUACGGGAUUAUAUGAAUCCUUGGCACUGAGGUUAAACCGAUAAGAUCUUCGGAGAAUAUGUAGGAUCCAAUAUGGGCAUCCAGGUCCCGCUACUGGAUAUUGACCAAGGAGUCUCUCGGGUCAUGUCUACAUAGUUCUCGAACCCGCAGGGUGUGCACACUUAAGGUUCGACGAUGUUUUAUGCGUAUUUGAGUUACAUGGUUGGUUACCAAAUGUUGUUCGGAGUCCCGGAUGAGAUCACGGACGACACAAGGGUUUCCGGAAUGGUCCGGAAACGAAGAUUGAUAUAUAGGAUGACCNNNNNNNNNNNNNNNNNNNNNNNNNNNNNNNNNNNNNNNNNNNNNNNNNNNNNNNNNNNNNNNNNNNNNNNNNNNNNNNNNNNNNNNNNNNNNNNNNNNNGUGUGUGUGUGUGUGUGUGUGUGUGUGUUGUGCGUGUGUGUCGUCGUCGGUGGAUGGUUGCUUUUCUGCAACAUCUGUAGGGGUUGCCUGUUGUCCCUGGGGAUCUGGCCUUGUCAAGGUGCAACAUAUCAAAGGGCCCUUGCCAUGACAACCUUGUGUGGUUGUUCUUUCUCUCCAUAUCCCCGAUUUUUGCAGGCGUGUGGUCGAGUGUUGUAACCUUUGCAAUCAUCCUGGGAUAAAUAAAUUUUGUUUCCGUCCAAGUUCNNNNNNNNNNAGGGUGCAGGUCCUCAGAGCACGGUGUUGUUCGGUGAUUGAAAGAUCUCUAUGUAAUUUCCUUUGCAAUCAUCCUGGGAUAAAUAAAUUUUGUUUCCGUCCAAGUUCUAUGCGUUUUUACAUAAUUGGAACCUUAUGAUUUUAUGAAUUGUUACGUUCCUUGUACUGUGUCUAAAUGCCUGUGAUAUCUGUUGCUUGAUGCCACCACCACUGAGAUGAACAUCCUUGACAACUGCGUGAAAUAUGUUUUCUGCUCUGAAUUUUGUUGAAGUUGUAGAGCUGAUUGAAAUAACACCUGGUGUAUGUUGUAUGCUUGGGGAACUGCCAUAUGGAUAAUCAUGUGAAAUUCUUCUCCAAAUGAUCUCAAACAGGUUCCAUUGUACGUUAAAUUGUUGUAAGAUCAUGUGUUUCCCUUCUUGCAAGGCUCCUAGGCCCAAGCCUUUCUCCUGUUGAUCUUCAUCAGCAGGACUGUGGAUUUGCUCCGGCGGGCUGGUGGCGUGAAGGAGAAUCCUGGUGCCUCAGCUUCGGCGGGCUUCGAUCCUCUUUGAAUUUGUUCGCGGGGAAGGAUUAUACGUAGCUCAAAAGUCGGCUCCUCGGGAUGACGAGUUUUUUGUUUUGUUUUNNNNNNNNNNAGCGGGCUUCGAUCCUCUUUGAAUUUGUUCGCGGGGACGGAUUAUACAUAGCUCAAAAGUCGGCUCCUCGGGAUGACGAGUUUUUUGUUUUGUUUUNNNNNNNNNNNNNNNNNNNNNNNNNNNNNNNNNNNNNNNNNNNNNNNNNNNNNNNNNNNNNNNNNNNNNNNNNNNNNNNNNNNNNNNNNNNNNNNNNNNNCAAGGAACCCAUGUUAUCACAUUGAAGCAACUACACCUGCAACUAGCAACGCUAACAACAUGGAUAAGCAAGCUGUAACAUAGCCAAUCAUUGGUUUGCUAGGUCGAACAGGUUGAAGGUUAUCAUGGUAUUGUUGAGAGGCUGAUAUUUAACAUGUGGUAGGCAACAAGACAUAAUCGAUAGAAGCGAUAAAACUAGCAUGGCAAUGAUAGUAAUGGUAUCUGGNNNNNNNNNNAGCAACUGCAACUGCAACUAGCAACGCUAACAACAUGGAUAAUCAAGCGGUAACAUAGCCAAUCAGUGGUUUGCUAGGUCGAACAGGUUGAAGGUUUCAUGGCAUUGUUGAGAGGCUGAUAUUUAACAUGUGGUAGGCAACGAGACAUAAACGAUAGAAGCGAUAAAACUAGCAUGGCAAUGAUAGUAAUGGUAUCUGGGGAAAUGAUCAUCUUGCCUGAGAUCCCGCUUGGAAGAAGAAUGACUCCAUGAAGCAGACGAACCGAUGUAGUCGAACGGGUCCUCACAAUCCGACACGCUUGCGGAACUCUAUCGAGAUGAAGCAAACCGGAAACAAGCAUCACCACACGAGAAUCACCACAUGAUGCAAGACACAUAUGAUGCAUGAACGGUCUAAUGCCAGACAUGACAAUCACAACAAUCAAACACUACACAUUAAGUGAAGCUCAAUGUGCAACGAGUUGCAUAUUGACGAAACUCCACAUAUGAAUUAUUUAGUUCACUCCCGGUUAUUUACACGGAAAUUUUAAUGUUGUCAAACAUGACACGGGGUGAAGCACAAAUUAAUCUACCUAGCUAGGCAUUUUAAAUGAGGCCGGAAACGUCAUAUAGCAUCUCCGAAAUGACCCCACGUGUUACAUCUUAAUUCUGUCCAGAUUUGUCCUAAUCACAAUUUAGGUUUGUUAAACGCCAAAACAAAGUGGUUCACAUGAUUCUACUCGUCGUUUUGCUCCAUUUUCCUAUAUGGCACAUCUCCAACGGAGCUACGGUUAAAUAACUACGGGCUAAACCGUUUCUAUCACGUCAACACGCAAACUGAUGCAAACAUCAUGUUUAAGUAUUUUUAUCAUGCAUGAAAGUUAGAAAUUAUUAAUCUACAUGAAAUUCUAGUCAAGUUUCAUAUAAAAAUUNNNNNNNNNNCUGCUCCAUUUUCCUAUAUGGCACAUCUCCAAAGGAGCUACGGUUAAAUAACUAUGGGCUAAACCGUUUCUAUCACGUCAACACGCAAACCGAUGCAAACAUCAUGUUUAAGUAUUUUUAUCAUGCAUGAAAGUUGGAAAUUAUUAAUCUACAUGAAAUUCUAGUCAAGUUUCAUAUAAAAAUUAUUCUGAUCCGAUGCACGGUUUAAAAGUUAAAACCAAUUUUAAAAUAUGCUUGAAAACGGUAAAUCGGUAGAUUAAACAAUACAUCGCAGAAGGAAAAAAAUCUACAUGGCCCGAAUUGAACCAAAGUGCACGGGGCGCGGGGCUGGAAUCAGCCCAAGACGGUUCUGUGAGCAUGAUUGAAAAAGAAAACACAGGAAAAAAAAAUAAAGAGGCUCCCUAGGAUUCGAUCCCAGGACCUCAGGUGNNNNNNNNNNAUCUACAUGGCCCGAAUUGAACCAAAGUGCACCGGGCGCGGGGCUGGAAUCAGCCCGAGACGUCUCUGUGAGCAUGAUUGAAAAAGAACACACAGGAAAAAAAAUAAAGAGGCUCCCUAGGAUUCGAUCCCAGGACCUCAGGUGCAAAGCAUUGACGCUAACCAACUGGGCAGGCUACUACACGUGAAAAUAAUUGGGCCUCUAGCAUAAAUGAAGCAACACGAGGAUCUCAUUCCCGAGAGACAAUAUUUGCAGAAAACAAAAUAAAUGUGGAGUUGGGGGGAUUUGAACCCACGACCUCCUCGGUGCAGACCAACGAGCUGACCAGUUGGACUGCUGCGUGUUUGUGCUACAAAAAAAUGAUUUCGCAAGGUGAAUCAAUACUUACGCGGAUCUGAACGAGAUUAAAAACGCUGAAUCUGAACCUGAGAAGCAGAUGAGGCUGGCUAUGGAUGGGAAGCAGGUCAACGCCUCGGAAUGGACGCAGCUGGCGAUGGAGAGGUUGGGGAGGGCCGGAUCUGGGACGAGGAGCUCGUCGGGGCUCGGUUUUCGCAGGAACCAGGCGAGGACGGGGUGUUGGCGUCGGGUCCCGUCAUCCCCACUUGUUUGCCUUAAAGCUACACACGCCAUGGAUGCUUCUCCUUCUUGACGAGAGAGAGAUCAGAGAACGAGAGGGAAAAGGGAGCCACGGAAAGNNNNNNNNNNCAAAGGAUUUCGCAAGGUGAAUUAGUACUUACGCGGAUCUGAACGAGAUUAAAAACGCUGAAUCUGAACCUGAGAAGCAGAUGAGGCUGGCUAUGGACGGGAAGCAGGUCAACGCCUCGGCACGGACGCAGCUGGGGAUGGAGAGGUUGGGGAGGGCCGGAUCUGGGACGAGGAGCUCGUCGGGGCUCGGUUUUCGCAGGAACCAGGCGAGGACGGGGUGCUGCCGUCGGGUCCCGUCAUCCCCACUUGUUUUCCUUGAAGCUACACACGCCAUGGAUGCUGCUCCUUCCCGACGAGAGAGAGAUCAGAGAACGAGAGGGAAAAGGGAGCCACGGAAAGAGGGACGCGGCGGGGCUGACCUGGCGGCGCACUUCUGCUGCUCGGUCUGGCUGAAGUGGUCGAAGGUCACGGCGCGGCUGGCUGCUACUGCUGUCGGUGCGGGCCACUGCAGUGAGCUCCGAGAAGACCAUGGCGGGGCUGCAACAGGGGACCUGCUGGUCCAUGGAGCAGGUGGAGCUUGACGGCGCCCAUGGCUCCUCUGCUGGUGGCCUCACGGUCGCUGGGGCUGGUGCACGCAGGCGGAUCGAGGGAGGCGGCGGUUCUGGAUGGAUGGAUGGAUUUGUUUUGGAAUCAGGGAGGAACCCGAUGGAGGAGGAGGCUGGUUGGGUUGCUGGGGAUUCCAAGGCAAGCUGGUGGCGGCAGGAUGAGGGAUUGGACAGGGGUAGGCUAGGGUUAGGCUAGAAUGGACAUAAUUACAAUAAGCGGNNNNNNNNNNUUGCAAUGAGCUCCGAGAAGACCAUGGCGGGGCUACAGCAGGGGACCUGCUGGUCCAUGGAGCAGGUGGAGCUUGACGGUGUCCAUGGCUCCUCUGCUGGUGGCCUCACGGUCGCUGGGGCUGGUGCACGCACGUAGAUCGAGGGAGGUGGCGGUCUGGAUGGAUGGAUGGAUUUGUUUUGGAAUCAGGGAGGAACCCGAUGNNNNNNNNNNNNNNNNNNNNNNNNNNNNNNNNNNNNNNNNNNNNNNNNNNNNNNNNNNNNNNNNNNNNNNNNNNNNNNNNNNNNNNNNNNNNNNNNNNNNNNNNNNNNNNNNNNNNNNAGCUGGGGAUUCCAAGGCAAGCAGGUGGCAGCGGGAUGAGGGAUUGGAUAGGGGUAGGCUAGGGUUAGGCUAGAAUGGACAUAAUUACAAUAAGCGGAUUUGUGGUAGGGGUUGCCAAGACCCUCCGAUUAAAUCAGACGGACGAAAUAAAUAGGCUAGGAAGCCCAAUGGACAAACCGAUGACGUUUUGCGGUAAAACGGGGUUGAUCCGGAUCCAACGGUCACGACCGCCCGGUUCGGAUCCGGGGAAGGUUCCGGACUAGGUUGCGGACAGGUCGGUGCACUGCGCAGAGGGGCUAGGCAGGGAUGAGAGGGAAAACGGGCGAUGCGGCAACGUAUUUUAAAAACACCGACAACCUUCCGACGGUAGUCCGAAUACGGUGCCGCUACGGUCGACCGUUCGGGUACCAGACAGACUCCGAUCGCGACGAAAUUCGACAGGCGGUCUAGCUAUAUUAAAAUACGACCGCACGUCGAAUAUCAACCCAAUCAGAGAAGGUUUUCCACACACUUUUAAAACAGGGUUCGACGAUGCCGCGGGCGCGUGCGUGUGCGGUCGGGCUCAGAACGGACAACGACGAGAACCGGCANNNNNNNNNNNNNNNNNNNNNNNNNNNNNNNNNNNNNNNNNNNNNNNNNNNNNNNNNNNNNNNNNNNNNNNNNNNNNNNNNNNNNNNNNNNNNNNNNNNNCCUUGUCAGCAUUUUUAGGAUCGACAAAACCUUCGGGUUGCAUCAUAUACAACUCUUCCUUAAGGAAACCGUUAAGGAACGCCGUUUUGACAUCCAUCUGCCAGAUUUCAUAAUCGAAAAAUGCAGCUAUUGCUAACAUGAUUCUGACGGACUUAAGCAUCGCUACGGGAGAGAAAGUCUCAUCGUAGUCAAUUCCUGGAACUUGUGAAAAACCCUUUGCCACAAGUCGAGCUUUAUAAACCGUCACAUUACCGUCAGCGUCCGUCUUCUUCUUAAAGAUCCAUUUGUUCUGAAUAGCCUUGCGGCCCUCAGGUAGUAUCUCCAAAGUCCACACUUUGUUCUCAUACAUGGAUCCUAUCUCGGAUUUCAUGGCUUCUAGCCAUUUGUUGGAAUCUGGGCCCACCAUUGCUUCUUCAUAAUUUGCAGGUUCAUUGUUGUCUAACAACAUGAUUGACAAGACGGGAUUACCGUACCACUCUAGAGCAGCGCGUGAUCUCGUCGACCUGCGUGGUUCAACGGAAACUUGAACUGGAGUUUCAUGAUCAUCAUCAUUAACUUCCUCCUCAACCGGCGUUGCAACGAUAGAGGUUUCCCCUUGCCCUGUGCCACCAUCCAGAGGGAUGAGAGGUUCGACAACCUCGUCAAGUUCUAUCUUCCUCCCACUCAAUUCUCUCGAGAGAAACUCCUUCUCGAGAAAAGUUCCGUUUUUAGCAACAAACACUUUGCCCUCGGAUUUGAGAUAGAAGGUGUACCCAACUGUCUCCUUUGGGUAACCUAUGAAGACGCACUUUUCCGCUUUGGGUUCCAGCUUUUCAGGCUGAAGCUUUUUGACAUAAGCAUCACAUCCCCAAACUUUAAAAAACGACACUUUGGUCUUUUGCCAUACCACAGUUCGUAUGGUGUCGUCUCAACGAAUUUUGAUGGUGCCCUAUUUAAAGUGAAUGCAGUUAUUUCUAAUGCAUAACCCCAAAAUGAUAACGGCAAAUCAGUAAGAGACAUCAUAGAUCGCACCAUCUCUAACAAAGUACGAUUANNNNNNNNNNNNNNNNNNNNNNNNNNNNNNNNNNNNNNNNNNNNNNNNNNNNNNNNNNNNNNNNNNNNNNNNNNNNNNNNNNNNNNNNNNNNNNNNNNNNUGCUCAUUGGACCACACACAUCGGUAUGUAUGAUUUCCAACAAGUCACUUGCACGCUCCAUUGUUCCGGAGAACGGAGUCUUAGUCAUCUUGCCCAUGAGGCAUGGUUCGCACGUGUCAAGUGAAUCAAAGUCAAGUGACUCCAAAAGUCCAUCAGCAUGGAGUUUCUUCAUGCGCUUUACACCAAUAUGACCCAAGCGGCAGUGCCACAAAAAAUAUGGCGCUAUCAUUGUUUACUCUAACUCUUUUGGUCUCAAUGUUAUGUAUAUGCGUAUNNNNNNNNNNNNNNNNNNNNNNNNNNNNNNNNNNNNNNNNNNNNNNUAUGGCGCUACCAUUGUUUACUCUAACUCUUUUGGUCUCAAUGUUAUGUAUAUGCGUAUCGCUAUCGAGAUUCAAUAUGAACAAUCCUCUUACAUUCGGUGCAUGACCAUAAAAGAUGUUACUCAUAGAAAUAGAACAACCAUUAUUCUCAGACUUAAAAGAGUAACCGUCUCGCAAUAAACAAGAUCCAGAUAUAAUGUUCAUGCUCAACGCAGGCACUAAAUAACAAUGAUUUAAGUUCAUCACUAAUCCCGAUGGUAGUUGAAGUGACACUGCGCCGACGGCGAUUGCAUCAACCGUGGAACCGUUUCCCACGCGCAUCGUCACUUCGUCUUUCGCCAGCCUUCGUCUAUUCCGCAGUUCCUGCUUCGAGUUGCAAAUGUGAGCAACAGAACCGGUAUCGAAUACCCAGGCACUACUACGAGAGCUGGUUAAGUACACAUCAAUAACAUGUAUAUCAAAUAUACCUGAUUUUUCUUUGCCCGCCUUCUUAUCUGCCAGAUACUUGGGGCAAUUGCGCUUCCAGUGACCCAUACCCUUGCAAUAGAAGCACUCUGUUUCAGGCUUAGGGCCAGCCUUGGGUUUCUUCGGCGGAUUGGCAACAGGCUUGCCGCUCUUCUUCGAAUUGCCCUUCUUGCCUUUGCCGUUUCUCUUGAAACUAGUGGUCUUGCUCACCAUCAACACUUGAUGUUCUUUACGGAGUUCAGACUCUGCGACUUUCAGCAUCGCAAACAACUCGCGGGGAGACUUGUUCAUCCCUUGCAUGUUGUAGUUCAACACAAAGCCUUUAUAGCUUGGCGGCAGUGAUUGGAGGAUUCUGUCAGUGAUAGCUUCUUGCGGGAGUUCAAUCCCCAGUUCANNNNNNNNNNCGGGAGACUUGUUCAUCCCUUGCAUGUUGUAGUUCAACACAAAUCUUUUAUAGCUUGGCGGCAGUGAUUGAAGGAUUCUGUCAGUGAUAGCUUCUUGCGGGAGUUCAAUCCCCAGUUCAGCUAGACGGUUUGAGUACCCAGACAUUUUGAGCACAUGUUCACUGACAGACAAGUUUUCCUCCAUCUUGCAAGCAUAGAAUUUAUCGGAGGUCUCAUACCUCUCGAUCCGGGCGUUCUUCUGAAAGAUAAACUUCAACUCCUGGAACAUCUCAAAUGCUCCAUGACGCUCAAAGCGACGUUGAAGUCCCGGCUCUAAGCCAUACAAGACUGCACAUUUAACUAUUGAGUAGUCCUCCUUACGUGAUAACCAAGCGUUCUUAACAUCCUGAUCAGCCGUAGCGGGUGGUUCAUCUCCUAGCGCAGCAUUAAGGACAUAAUCCUUCUUUCCAGCUUGUAAGAUUAGCUUAAGAUUACGAGCCCAGUCUACAAAGUUGCUUCCAUCAUCUUUCAACUUAGCUUUCUCUAGGAACGUAUUAAAAUUCAGGAUGACACUCGCGUGAGCCAUGAUCUACAACACAAAUAUAUUCAAAGUGGACUUAGACUAUGUUCAAGAUAAUUAGAGUUCAACUUAAUCAAAUUAUACGCCAAACUCCCACUCAAAAAGUACAUCUCUCUAGUCAUUUGAGUGGUUCAUGAUCCACUUACACUAUCCCAAGUCCGAUCAUCACGUGAGUCGAGAGUAGUUUCAGUGGUAAGCAUCCCUAUGCUAAUCAUAUCAACUAUAUGAUUCAUGAUCGACCUUUCGGUCUCAUGUGUUCCGAGGCUAUGUCUGCACAUGCUAGGCUCGUCAAGCUUAACCCGAGUGUUCCGCGUGCGCAACUGUUUUGCACCCGUUCUAUGUGAACGUUGAGUCUAUCACACCCGAUCAUCACGUGGUGUCUCGAAACGACGAACUGUAGCAACGGUGCACCGUCGGGGAGAACACAAUUUCGUCUUGAAAUUUUAGUGAGAGAUCACCUCAUAAUGCUACCGUCGUUCUAAGNNNNNNNNNNNNNNNNNNNNNNNNNNNNNNNNNNNNNNNNNNNNNNNNNNNNNNNNNNNNNNNNNNNNNNNNNNNNNNNNNNNNNNNNNNNNNNNNNNNNAGUGUUACAAGGUACGAGAUUGAGUAAGACUCAGUGCCCAGCAACUGAUGAAGAUAGAGAGCAUAUGUGCUCGGUCCCCUAUGCUUCAGCCAUAGGCUCUAUCAUGUAUGCAAUGCUGGGCACUAGACCAGAUGUUAGCCUGGCCAUAAGUAUGGCAGGCAGGUUCCAGAGUAAUCCAGGAGUGGAUCACUGGAUAGCGGUCAAGAAUAUCCUAAAGUACCUGAAAAGGACUAAGGAGAUGUUUCUCGUGUAUGGAGGUGACGAAGAGCUCGCCGUAAAAGGUUACGUCGAUGCAAGCUUUGACACAGAUCCGGAUGACUCUAAGUCGCAAACCGGAUACGUAUUUAUUCUUAAUGGGGGUGCAGUAAGCUGGUACAGUUCCGAGCAAAGCGUCGUAGCAGAUUCUACAUGUGAAGCGGAGUACAUGGCUGCCUCGGAGGCGGCUAAGGAGGGUGUCUGGAUGAAGCAGUUCAUGACGGAUCUUGGAGUGGUGCCAAGUGCACUGGAUCCAAUAACCUUGUUCUGUGACAACACUGGUGCCAUUGCCUUAGCAAAGGAACCAAGGUUUCACAAGAAGACCAGACACAUCAAACGACGCUUCAACCUCAUCCGCGACUACAUCGAGGAGGAGGACAUAAAUAUAUGCAAAGUGCACACGGAUCUGAAUGUAGCAGACCCGCUGACUAAACCUCUUCCACGGCCAAAACAUGAUCGACACCAGAACUGUAUGGGUGUUAGAUUUAUUACAAUGUAAUUCACAUGGUGAUGUGAGNNNNNNNNNNGCCUCUUCCACGGCCAAAACAUGAUCGACACCAGAAAUGUAUGGGUGUUAGAUUUAUUACAAUGUAAUUCACAUGGUGAUGUGAGGGCUAGAUUNNNNNNNNNNNNNNNNNNNNNNNNNNNNNNNNNNNNNNNNNNNNNNNNNNNNNNNNNNNNNNNNNNNNNNNNNNNNNNNNNNNNNNNNNNNNNNNNNNNNUCCGUUCGGUACUAGAUCGUGGGACUGAUCGCGGGAUUGUUCGCGGGGCGGAUCGAGGGACGUGAGGACGUUCCACUACAUCAACCGCGUUCUCUAACGCUUCUGCUGUAUGAUCUACAAGGGUACGUAGAUCACUCAUCCCCUCUCGUAGAUGGACAUCACCAUGAUAGGUCUUCGUGCACGUAGGAAAUUUUUUGUUUCCCAUGCGACGUUCCCCAUCAGUGGCAUCAUGAGCUAGGUUCAUGCGUAGAUGUCUUCUCGAGUAGAACACAAAAGGUUUUGUGGGCGGUGAUGUGCGUUUUNNNNNNNNNNCUUAGCACCAUACACACGUCAUGCAUCUCGGCAAACUUCAAGCGAAAGCACUGGCGUGGGUGUCGGCCACGACCGUUAACCACACAAGACCGUAGUCCAGGUUUAUCGCCUAUUUGAGACUGAACCCGCAAGGAAGUCCGGCCGAGGUUUCCUCUACGUCCCUGCUACUUCUCAAACAAUAGCGCCAAAAUUUGACACGUUGACGGAGACUUGCUUGCGUUGGUUUUUCCCUUGAAGAGGAAAGGGUGAUGAAGCACAGGAGCAGUAAGUAUUUCCCUCGGUUUGAGAACCAAGGUAUCAAUACAGUAGGAGAAUCUCGUCAAGUCCAGAGUACCUGCACAAACACAAAAGNNNNNNNNNNCUUCUUGAGUAGAACACAAAAGGUUUUGUGGGCGGUGAUGUGCGUUUUUCUUCCCUCCUUAGUCUUUUCUUGAUUCCGCGGUAUUGUUGGAUUGAAGCGGCUUGGACCGACAUUACUCGUACNNNNNNNNNNGCUGCCCUCCUUAGUCUUUUCUUGAGUCCGCGGUAUUGUUGGAUUGAAGCGGCUUGGACCGACAUUACUCGUACGCUUACGAGAGACUGGUUUCAUCGUUACGAGUAACCCCCUUUGCUCAAAGAUGACUGACAAGUGACGGUUUCUCCAACUUUAGUUGAAUCGGAUUUGACCGAGGAGGUCCUUGGAUGAGGUUAAAUAGCAACUCAUAUAUCUCCGUUGUGGUGUUUUGCGUAAGUAAGAUGCGAUCNNNNNNNNNNNNNNNNNNNNNNNNNNNNNNNNNNNNNNNNNNNNNNNNNNNNNNNNNNNNNNNNNNNNNNNNNNNNNNNNNNNNNNNNNNNNNNNNNNNNGGAGGAGGGAGGGGGACCUUGCCUUGGGGUCCAAGGGAUCCCCAAGGGGUCGGCCGAGCCAAGGGGGGGAGGACUCCCCCCCCAAACCGAGUUGGACUUGGUUUGGUGGGAGGAGUCCCCCUCNNNNNNNNNNCCGGCAGCGUGACGGCGCUCCGAAGGUUGGUGAUGAUCUUGUCUCAGCAGGGCUCCGCCCGAGCUCCGCACAAACACGAUCUAGAGGAAAAACUAUGGAGGUAUGUGGUCGGGCAGCCGUGAGAAAGUCGUCUCAAAUCUGCCCUAAAAGCCCCAUAUAUAUAGGAGGAGGGAGGGGGACCUUGCCUUGGGGUCCAAGGGAUCCCCAAGGGUUCGGCCGAGCCAAGGGGGGAGGACUCCCCCCCCCCAAACCGAGUUGGACUUGGUUUGGUGGGAGGAGUCCCCCUCCCUUCCCACUUCUUCCCCUUUUAUUUUCUUUUCCUUUGAUUUUCUUCUCUUGGCGCAUAGGCCCUAUUGGGGCUGUCCCACCAGCCCACUAAGGGCUGGUGUGUCUCCCCAAAGCCUAUGGGCUUCCCCGGGGUGGGUUGCCCCCCCCCCCNNNNNNNNNNUUUUCUUUUCCUUUGAUUUUCUUCUCUAGGCGCAUAGGCCCUUUUGGGGCUGUCCCACCAGCCCACUAAGGGCUGGUGUGUCUCCCCAAAUCCUACGGGCUUCCCCGGGGUGGGUUCCCCCCCCCCCCCCNNNNNNNNNNGGGGGGAGGACUCUCCCCCCCCCCAAACCGAGUCCUACUUGGUUUGGUGGGAGGGAGUCCUUCCCCCUUCCCACUUCUUCCUUUUUUUUCUUUCCUUUGAUUUUUUCUUUCUUGGCGCAUAGGGGAUUGGUGGGCUGUCCCACCAUCCCACUAAGGGCUGGUGUGACCCCCCAAAUACCUAUAGGCUUCCCCGGAGUGGGUUGCCCCCCUCCGGUGAACUCCCGGAACCCAUUCGUCAUUCCCGGUACAUUCCCGGUAACUCCGAAAAACUUUCCGGUAAUCAAAUGAGGUCAUCCUAUAUAUCAAUCUUCGUUUCCGGACUAUUCCGGAAACCCUCGUGACGUCCGUGAUCUCAUCCGGGACUCCGAACAACAUUCGGUAACCAACCAUAUAACUCAAAUACGCANNNNNNNNNNCGUGACGUCCGUGAUCUCAUCUGGGACUCCGAACAACAUUCGGUAACCAACCAUAUAACUCAAAUACGCAUAAAACAACGUCGAACCUUAAGUGUGCAGACCCUGCGGGUUCGAGAACUAUGUAGACAUGACCCCAGAGACUUCUCGGUCAAUAUCCAAUAGCGGGACCUGGAUGCCCAUAUUGGAUCCUACAUAUUCUACGAAGAUCUUAUCGUUUGAACCUCAGUGCCAAGGAUUCGUAUAAUCCCGUAUGUCAUUCCCUUUGUCCUUCGGUAUGUUACUUGCCCGAGAUUCGAUCGUCAGUAUCCGUAUACCUAUUUCAAUCUCGUUUACUGGCAAGUCUCUUUACUCGUUCCGUAAUACAAGAUCCCGCAACUUACACNNNNNNNNNNNNNNNNNNNNNNNNNNNNNNNNNNNNNNNNNNNNNNNNNNNNNNNNNNNNNNNNNNNNNNNNNNNNNNNNNNNNNNNNNNNNNNNNNNNNUGAUAACCCACAAGUGUAGGGGAUCGCAACAGUUUUCGAGGGUAGAGUNNNNNNNNNNACCAAAGGGGAAGCGAAAGAAUAUUCUCAAGUAGUAGCAGCUGAGUUUGUCAGAUUCAACCACACCUGAAAGAUUAGUGUCUGCAAGCAAAGUAUCGGUAGCAAAGUAGUAUGAUAGCAACGGUGCGAGAAACGAUCUGUUGACGGCAGACUAUUCCUAACUGUUGUAUCAAUGGUGCCAGUAAGUUGCACAUGGGCGAGUAACUAUUCUUCCCCGACAACAGUGUCGAAAAAGGAUCUUGCAACAAGUAACAGCGAAGUAGCAAGGAACAGCAGUAGCAGUAGCAGCAGAGUAAGAGCAGUAGCAACAGUAGUAGCAAAGUGGCCCAAUCCCUUUUGUAGCAAGGGACAAGCCUAGACAAAGUAACGUAGAAAGGACCAGUAGUAAAAGACUCGUAGGAAGUGGAUCGGUGAUGGAUGAGUAUGAAGGAUGUGAUUCAUCAUGUAACAUCUAUAACACGGAGAGAUAUGUAACUAGCUCCCGUUCGUCAUUCUAAUGUAGGCAUGUAUUCCGUAUGUAGUCAUACGUGCUUAGGGAAAAGAACUUGCAUGACAUCUAUUGUCCAUCCCUCCCAUGGCAGCGGGGUCCUAAUGGAUACUACAGGAUAGUAAGGUUCUCCUUUUAAUAAAGAACCGGACCAACGCAUUAACACGCGGUGAAUACAUGAACUCCUCAUACUAUGGUCAUCUCCGGGAGUGGUUCCGGCUAUUGUCACUCCAGGGUUGCCGGGUCAUAACACAUAGUAGGUGACUACAACUUGCAAUAUAGGAUCUAAAACACACAUAUAUUGGCAACAACAUAAUAGGUUCAGAUCUGAAAUCAUGGCACUCGGGCCCUAGUGACAAGCAUUAAGCAUGGCAAAGUAGUAGCAACAUCAAUCUCAGAACAUAGUGGAUUCUAGGGAUCAAUCUCCGUCAAAACUAACUUGAUUACAUGAUAGAUCUCAUCCAACUCAUCACCGUCCAGCAAGCCUAUGAUGAGAUUACUCACGAACGAUGAAGAGCAUCAUGGAAUUGUCGAUGGAGGAAGGUUGAUGAUGACGAUGGCGACGAUUUCCCCUCUCUGGAGCCCAAAACGGACUCCAGAUCUGCCCUCCAGGUGAAGAACACGAGGUGGCGGCGCCUCUGUAUCGUAAAACGCGGUGAAACCUUCUCUCUGAUUUUUUUCCGGGCGAGUCGGAAGAUAUAGAGUUGAGCUUGGAGGCGGUGGUGCCAUGUGGGCCCCACAAGCCCUCACGAUGCGGCCUAGUGGAUGGUCGCGGCCUGUGGGCUUGUGGCCCACUGGCACGCCCCCUUCGGUGGACCUUUGCGUAGGUAUUUUUCUUUUAUUCCAGAAGAAAUCUCCGUAAAUUUUCAGGACAUUCCGAGAAAUUUUAUUUCUGCACAAAAACAACACCAUGGCAAUUCUGCUGAAAACAGCGUAAGUCCGGGUUAGUUCCAUUCAAAUAAUGCAAAUUAGAGUCCAAAACAAGGGCAAAAGAGUUCGGAAAAGUAGAUACGACGGAGACGUAUCANNNNNNNNNNNNNNNNNNNNNNNNNNNNNNNNNNNNNNNNNNNNNNNNNNNNNNNNNNNNNNNNNNNNNNNNNNNNNNNNNNNNNNNNNNNNNNNNNNNNAAAGAUCAAAUCCCCUAAAUCUUGAACCGCGAGUCUACGCGAGAACAGCUAUAAUCAGGAUUUCUAUUUUGCUUAUGGCUACCGAGAACUCAAUCACGACUCCGUUUUCAUUUUCUGGGGCAGAUGGAUCAUUUAGCGCUGAUCACCGAGAAACUCACGGAGCAAGAACUGAUUUGGCCUUCGGGGAGAGGAAAGGGCAGAGGGGUUGCCGUACCGAGAUGUAGGAGCAGGUGGGGAUGACGCGCAUGCCGUGGCGCUGCGCGUGCGCGAAGGCGGCGUCGCAGAGGCGCGCGGCGAGCCCCUGCCCGCGCUUGCUCCCGGGCACGUACGUGUGCACCAUGUCCAUCGCCGCCGGGGACGCGCCGCCGCCGCCGGAGGAGGCGCGCGGCUGGGCGACGAGGCGGUACUGGAGGAAGGCCUCGCCGUCGGGCGUCUCGAACUUCCC
This 55195-nucleotide long non-coding RNA is filed under the name Hordeum vulgare. Its description in RNAcentral is "long non-coding RNA (HVUL_LNC004839)". Lineage: Eukaryota; Viridiplantae; Streptophyta; Magnoliopsida; Poales; Poaceae. The record is from RNAcentral.